GCGACCGGCGACGAGAUCUGCGCGUUCUGAGCGCGGGCGCGCUAGGAUUCGGGCAGGGAGCUAAGUAAUGCCGUUUAAUCGUUAGCAGUACUUAUCUGUUAAUUUUCAUUUCAUUCGUCUCCUUCUGGUAAGACUCUAUGAUAAUGGUGGUAAAUAAGAGUAGUUCGAAGGGUUAAAAUGAUAAUCGGAGCCUUUGAAUCUCUCCUUUUCCUGGGUUCGGAAUUUGCAUUGGUGCCCUCCAAAUUUAAGCUCUAACUGCAUCUACCCCACCCAGCAUGAGAAGAUAUUUAAUUUCUAUGGUCAACCUUAAUUGAUAAUAAUGCUAUAUAAAUUCACAGAAGACCCUCAAACUUGAAGGGUUGAUAUGCAUGAAAACUUCUGCUAUGAAAUGAGUGCAUCUGAAAGAUUGUGGAUGGGGUUGUGGCCUGCAAUUUCCUAGUUUCAUUUGCCUCCUUAGAAACCACAAAAGCAGUUGGUGUGAGGAUAUUUCACUCUAAAUAUUUUAGGGCAAAAGUGGAGUAUAAAGUUCCCAACUUGAUGGAGGGUGUUGAUGCAAAUUUCUGUUCCUGGAGAAGGGUUGCCAAAGCUCCCUAGUUCAUUAGGUUGAGAUUUUUGGACUCUGAUGUGGCCGUACGUCUGAGCUAGUGGUGUCAAAUUUCUGUUGUGAUUUUGUCCCGAGACAAGUGUUUAAUAUUAAGCUAAUCCUAAUAUAGUUUGGCUUUUUAAUCUGUACUUGCAUGAUUGCUUCAAAAAGUUCUCGUUGUCUGCUCCCCGGCCGCUCAAUGUAUUCGUUUUGUUUUAUUGUCAUUUGUCAACAGCAUCUUUAUUCUUACUGUCAUGAUGGAAGACUUGGUUUCGGCAGCUGUAGCUGAUGUAGAAAAUAGGAUGUUAAAUAAUUAUGUAUCAGUUCUUGGAGCUCUUCAUAACUUCAAAUUUUGCAAGAAGUCGCAUCUCUUUUCCAUGAACUUUUAUUCCAUUUCAGAGCAAACAAAGUUUAGGGCAUUUCUAGGAAAAAAAAAGGAUUUUAUCGAAAUGUGGCAUUGUGAAUUCCAAUAGGAAUCAGAAAGAAAGAAAAAUUGUCACAUUCUGAAUGUGGCCUUGUGAUUCCUCCUCAAAAGUGGUUCAACCCCGCUGCAUGCAAACACGCACAAGGAGUUAAAAGUGGUUGCAACGGAUGGCCUCUGCUAGAUCUGGCUCACGCAAGCAUAGAUGCUCAUUUGCCCCUUUGAAAAGUUGUACAUUUCACCUAGUGAUCUUUUUUUUUCCCUAAGAUAAGAUUAGACACACCGAUUGAGUGGCUGUUUUACCGGAGGCAAAUGCCGUCGAGUAGGUGGCAUCUCUAGGGCUCAUUCAACGCCCAUAAGUUCCUCACCUACGUCGCCACCCGCCCAUGAUUUGCAUACGCUAUCCUAUCCUAUACAGGAGAAACCGAGAUGUGAUCCACACGACAUCAAGGACAAUGCAGCUACUGCCGUGCAAGGAUUCACAUUCAUGUUCACGGAUGGUUGCGCGCACACAGAGGUCAUGUGCAAACUGCAGGCCGGGCAAUGUGCAAUCCAAUCGCCCAAUCGCCCAAUCCCCUGUGCGUGACCCUGACGAGACGUUGCACCUGUAGAUUAGCUGGACCGGUCGUCGCUCUCGGUGCCCGUUGGGAGUCAUGUGGGGUGUGGUUAGGCGUCUGUUAACGGGGGAUUAAACUAAGGCCUAAGGGGGAUUACUGGUAAACAAGGAGCCCGAGAUUCCCGCGGACGGAGACGACGGGGGCGCGCGCGGCUGCCGAGGCGAGCCCGGCCACAUGCUGCCGGGUGGCCGUUUCCAGGCAGCGGCGUGGAGGAGUAAGGAAAGGCCCAAACAGUUAAUGAGACUGUUCGCGUGGGUGCUGACGCUGCAAUAGUUUAUGGAGGCAACAGCCGGUUGAGAACGACCGCUCGGCAUUGAAGAAUCGCCAUGGAAAGGCCGGUAGAAGAUGCUGGGACUGAACCGGAAAUUGCUCUCCUCACGACCUCACCCUCCCCGACCGCAAGUUGGAGUCGCCGGCGUCGACAGCUGCAAUUGUGGCAGGACCAUGCAUGGCCAUGGGCCCAUGGUGGCAGUGAGCAGUGCGCAGGCUAGGCUAGUGGCCGAUCGAUUCACUUGGCCCUGGCAGCACCAGCAUGCAUGCUGCAUGCAGGAACGUGUUGCUGCUCUUGGAUGACUUGUCCGCCUUUCCAUGGGUGGAAGUCAGGAGCUGUUCAGUGGCAGUGCAUGCCAGCUUCGUAAAAAGGCGCAGCUGCUUUGCUUGCUACGCUGGCCAUUAGAGGUUCUCGAAACCAGGAUCCUUUCGCGAAAGGUGUGGCAGCCCCGUUUUCUACUCGAUCCAUCUCAACAAAAGUUUGCGAGGAAAAGACACACUUUUUUUCUUUUUGUCUUUUUAGGAGUAUUUACUCCUACUCUGAAAGCGAAGCUCGUGGGUAACAACAUUGCUUGAUCUCGCAUUUGAGUAAACAACUGAUCGAAUUAAUAAAGUCGAUGCCCAUGCAUGGAAGUGAUCGAUUGCCACUGGCUGAGGGCAAAAGCUCAGUGCUUUUUACUACAGCAUUUUCAAGCGUGGCCGAGAUCAAGGUGAUCGAGGUCAUAUGCGAUCUCUGUUCUUUGUCUCGUUGUUGUCAGAAGACACGGUUCUUCGGAGCCCGAUGAACGUUCACGAAACACUGAGCCGGCCGGAAACAACUCCGAAAGCUGGCAAAACCUGUCCAGAUCUCUGCGUCGCCACUGGCUCACUGCGCUCGCUGCAACUUGGGGUUAAAAACAGCACCACCUUGCUUCUGCACGCAUUUCGCACUGCCUCUGUUCUGCUCUACUACAGUAUCAUAUACUAGUACACAACAUGGCGCCUGUGACAGAACAGUGACAUCGGGAGCUGCCUGCCUGCUUUCCUGGCUGGCGCCUACCGGGCCCCUAGCAAUGCAACCAGUGCCUCGUAAUCCUGACACGAUUAUUUUUAUACUAGUGCUAAUCACGGAAUGCUCCGCUAUUCUCAGGUCAGCCUCUCCUAGUGACCCUAGUCUGAGGGCAUUUUGCUUUUUGUCAUCUCUACCCGGCGCGUCGUUAGCAAGGAAUGCUGCCUCCUCCUGGCUCCGCUAAACAAAUCGGUUCUAGGCUUUGACGGUGGUGAGCGCGAGGCUUGGACCGACACCGAGUUGCGGGCGGCACGGAGAUCGUUGGGGCGCCCGUCCGUCGGGCUUGUUUGUGAGAGGGAGUUGCCGUGGUUUGGAAGCUGGUUGCCUGGUUGGGAGGAGAGGAUAACCUCGUAGCGCAUUGUUCGUUUGCUCGAUCGUGUUUCGGGACUUGUACGCGGGAUGUGCAUGGGCACUCAAUGGUGCUUAGUUUGUUGGAUGGCCAUUCCUAUUUCCUAUUGUUUUCGUACCACCGUGUACGGGGAGUUUGAGCGCGCGUAUUCGUUCUACUCUGAGUACUGAAUAAACUACUAGUACACUCCUACUCCUUCGGUCCCGUAAAAAAUAUCCAUUUACACUCUAAAUUUUAUCCCACAAAGAAUAUCCUUUUACCUCGUAAUAAAUCUUAUCUAAUUAAAGCAAUACUCACAACAAUAAAAAAAACAUAUAUAGAAGCGCAUAGAGCUAAUUAAAUGAUCAAUUGAUGUUAUUUCUUUGAUCCCAAUAUACAUGCAUUUAUUUAGGAUAAAGAAAAUUAAACAAACAGCACAAGUUUCAAUCAUAAUAAGUAUUAGUUAUUGGUGGCAAUAUAGACAUUUCUCAUCACUACUUAUGUUUGUGAAAUUUUCUGAACGAAACACUCUUUGCGGGAUGGCGGAUGGAGUAUGUGUUAUGUUGUUUUUGCAGGUGCAAGUACGUGCAUAUUACUCGUCUCGCUCAACCGAGAGACAUCGUAGCGCGCCGUGGCGGCAUCUCUUGGAAUCCUUCGGUUUUUGUUUGUGCGCAUGCCGCAUGGGCUUUACAUGCGAUCGGAGCAGCAAACGCCACGGCUGGGUGCUUUUCUAUUGAAAUCUCGGACGGUCGCCCAUGCCUGCCUGCCUGCCGCUGCCGGAGCCGGAGCCCGGAGGUAGCGAUAACAGAGAGCGGCGUGCCGGGCUGGUUUUGGCGCGAGAGAUACGAGUGAUAAAAUUUAGCAGUGUCACAUCGGAUAUUCGGAUGCUAAUUAGGAGGACUAAACAUGAGCUAAUUAUAAAACUAAUUGCAGAAUCCUGUGCUAAUUCGCGAGACGAAUCUAUUAAGCCUAAUUAAUCCAUCAUUAGCAAAUGGUUACUGCAGUACCACAUUGUCAAAUCAAGGACUAAUUAGGCUUAAUAGAUUCGUCUCGCGAAUUAGACUCCAUCUGUGCAAUUAGUUUUGUAAUUAGCCUAUAUUUAAUACUCCUAAUUAGCAUCCAAACAUCCGAUGUGAUAGGUGCUAAACUUUAGCGGGUGUAUCCAAACACCCCCUAAAGCGCGUGCGUGCCGUGGGAUGGAGCGAGCAAGGCCACUGGGGGUAGGGCCGCGAGCACGUCGCGCCGUGGGCGGCCUCGUGCGCCACGCGGUCUAGUAGUAGCAGUACACGGCCAGGUGUGAUCAAGCUGCCGCGCAGGCCGUGCCGGUCGAGUGGAGGCCGAGAGCUUCCGCGUUGUGCCGCUAGCGGGCGGCUCGUCGCGGUCUCGCGGGAACGAUCAAAUAAACGCGCCUGGAGAGCGUCGGCGGGGGUGGAGCCGCGGAAAAGGCCCGAGCAAACGUGCCCGCCUAGGGAGCCGCCGAACCGGCCGGCAGCUCCGGUGGAGGUGGUGCGCCGUGGAGAGCGCCGCAACCGCGCGGCGACGGAACGGCUGUUCGUCCAGGCGCUUGCGUGCGUGCCGGCUGCUGGAUAGUCUCAGAAGUCACUGGGACGGUCAUCGGAUCGCCAAACACGGCGCCGUACGUCUCGGUCUCGAUUGGGUGAUCCAGUACGAGCAUGAUGAGAUGCUUCCGACGACGGAACCUAUGCGACGCGUUCCAUCUUUUUUUUUUGUGCGCGCGCUAAUACAUAGGAGUAUAUUAUAAAUAGGGCCUACCUGUAGGUGACGUACUCUACAAACGCAGGGGAUUCGCGCGCCGCUCGCCUGCCUAGUGCGUGCGACGAUUUUAUCACUGGAGAUGGCGCCGAUAGCAUGAGGACGUGAGGCCAAAAGGGCAGCCACAAACUCCCAGGAUUUUCCUCCAUAAAACAACACUACUCCCGCCGAUACCCAAUUGACAAUUGCAGCAGCAAGUCCAUUUUCAAUCUCAAAACAAAACAGCUGAAAAACGAAACAGAGGUUCCCCGCUCCCCCAUGAACGCCAAGGUCGCUUGACCUGCCCUGUCCCAACUCACCCGGCAUGUGCAGCCAUGCCGUGCAUUCUACGCCCGCGCGGCGGCUCCCCCGACCUCCAUCUGUCAACGCGCAGCAUGGUCCAAGGAUCCAAGGCAACGCCGCCGACCACCAUCGUGGACGUACGGACCUAGCAUCUCCCCGGAUAACUCAUCAACUCCGCCGCGGCAUGGUCACAUCCCAGCUCCGAAGAGAACAAAAAGGAGGACCCGGGUAACGUGGACAUCAACCGAAAUCCGCCUCGGAUCCCCUGCGCCAGCGCCAUCCGAUCGAGCCGACUAGGUUCGCCGUCCUCCCGCCGAACGGCCCGCAAGGCUCUACCUCUACGCCAACCCGCACGCGGCAGCCACGUGAGCCCUCUCUGGCCGUCCGUCAAGCACCCCCAACGAACGCGGGCGCGGCCGCCAAGAUGCGCGGCAGAGGCAGCCGCAUGUGCCGGCCGGGCACAUGACAUCUGCAUGUGUGUGUGGUGUGCGGGUGCGGCGGGAGGGGGGCGUCGUCCGGAGCCCGGGGGGAGCGGACGCAGCAGCUGCGCCUGGAUGCCGAUGCCGAUGGAUGGAUAUGGCCACAAGGACUGGAGAUCCAUGUGCAAUCAUUUUGACCUUUCCUGUCCAAGAAAGGCCAUUGCGGAGGACGACUCGGGUUUGGACGGACUGCCGUUGUGCAUGUGGACGACUCUUCUUUGCUUCCCUGCACGGACCGAGGGCAACCGCCGUCUGUCCAUCAGGUACCAGGGUAGUUUCGUUGUCUUGUCGUGGCCUUGUACACACGGGACUUGAUAUCAAGUGGCCUGACCCGUGGCCUGAUUGCGGAGGACGUAUCGAUCCGAAACGUUCAAAGGCGAUAUAUCAUGAUAAUGAGCAAUGGCUUGUGCUUUAAGAUCUCUGUUUCGUAUGCAAGUGAAAGUCACCAUUCAAGUGCUCAGACGCUUUCUAGCCCCUGCUUGGCACGACAAUUGUACGUGAAAGUUCCAUAACUUUGGCAUUGCUCUUUAUCCUUUAAUGAGAACAGAAUUAUAUUAACAGGAGCAAAUUCGUAGGUUACCUUGAGGCUUUAAUGAUGGGACGUCAGGUCUAGAAAAGGCUUCAGGAUAAGAUAGUGCAUGUGUGACGUCAGCAUCACACAAAAAUCACGGGAAAGCAGAAGAGAGAUUCUUUCUCUCGCACCUUUGACGACAAGACGAAGUGCCUGAAUUUCUCAUCAUCGCUAUAAAGCCUAUAACUAAAGGACCUACUGGUCUAUCGGAUAGCGUUUCACAUCAUAUGCUUUUUUUUUUAGCAUCGUUUCACAUCAUAUCCAGUGUAUGACCAUAUAAUAGCAAUCUGCACCUGUAUCCUUUCCAGUUCAGAAAUCAGAAUAAUCAUUCAUCUGGAGCAUUUCAACCUUGAAAUCACGGAGUCCAUUUGCCAUUACUAAAAGUAAAUGAAGUUCAAUUCCGAUUCCGGAGCAAAUACCUGCAGAAGCAGGUAAAGCUACAAUAGUUUGCAUACACAAUCGCAUAACUUAAUCCUAGAAUUGUGCCAUAACCACAUCAAUUUGCUUAAACUUCUGAAAUGUUAUCGUACCCUAAUUUAGAUGGUCGGAGGCCCAAUCAGCAUCUCAGGUCAGCAGCAAAAUUUCACGUGGACCAGAUCCAACAUCCUGGCCCUGCACGAACGGGUAACAAAAGCUAAAUUUCCGUCCCCCCAAUCCUGCACGCCUACACUACAUGUCAGACACCUUUCGAGCCCUACAUAGCUUAUGAGUCAGCAGGGCCUGUAGCAGUAGUGGCCACAGCGUUUUCUUUGGCGCCAUCCUUCUCCUUCUGGCCGGCUACAUCAUUGUCCUCUUGAUCGUUGCUCGUUUCCUUCUGACCAGCUACAGCAUUUUCUUCUUUUUUAUCGUUGCUCGUUUCCUUCUGGCCUGCUACAGCAUUUUCUUCUUUAUCUUUGCUCGGUUCCUUAUCUGUGCUCUUUUCCUUCGGUGGAAUGACAGGAAAAUCUUCCUCCGGUUGCCGGUGCCACCGGAAAUUGGCGGCUUCGAUCCAGCGUGGGUGGACCAAAAACUUCUUGUUCUUUACAGCCCAGCGGGCCUUUUCUGUUCCCAGAUCCACAGCCACAACGUGGGUCACUGUGGAAUCUACAUCUGUGGAGCAAACAGCGCCCAGAUGCUCGGCCAUCUUCCACAUCAUCUGCUCCUGUGGGCGAGAGGUAUUUGGGAACACCCGACUGAAGACAAGUUUGCAGCCUUCCAGGACUUCCUUUCGUACUGUCUUGAUCACCUGCAUAGGGGACACACAAACACGAGAAGCAGCCCACGGCAAAUGAAAUCUGUAGGCCAUACCAUGGUAAACAAGUCGUAGUUGAGUCAUUUUAAAACUGACAAACGCAACUGUAUUUGCUACUAAGAAUAGUUCUAAUUAUUUUCAUUACGCAUAAACACUAUCCGUCACGAUUAGUUUUGCAUGUGAUAGUGAUAUGUCCACAUUCCACAAAAUGAUGACAAUUAGUGCAAGCUAAAAAACAAUGCUUUGUUUGUAAAUAUCAUAAUAACUCUUAAAGUAUAACAGACAGCAUGAAGGGUAACUGUAGGUCUAGUGGCCUACCUGUCUUACAUCCCGUGAAGAAAGAGCAGUUUCAACAGCCUACAGACGAGAAGUACAAGAACAGAUGGUUACAUAUGAAAAACUUUUGUGCUCACAAGAUUCAGGUCUACUGUGAGGAAUAGACUGUAGAAAUAAAGAGCCAUAAGAUGUAAUAAAACUAUAUACUGAAGCAACAAACCGUGUCAAAGAAAAUUGUGUGUAUGCGCUUCAAUACAUCUAAAACGGUGGCCAAAGCACCAUCACUCUCCCUUUCAUCCUGCAUCGACUCUGACAAAGAUUUAACACCAAAACCAAAUUGGCGGCAGCUUGAAGCAAAGUAAUGAUAUCUCUCCAUCAGAAUCAGGUUCUCUUUAUGCUUCUGCCAGACCUGGAAAAAAAAUCAUUUCAGGCUGGCCAAACAUGAAUGAUAAAUUACAAUAAAAGAAGAAAUUAUCACUCUGAUCGAGAAAUAAAAAGCUCCAACCAGCUUCUAUGCUUUGAUAAAUGUGUGUGGUUGUUUCUACUGUUAAGUUUAUAUGUUGGAAGAAAACAGGAAAAUACAGCAGAGCGACCUAAGAAAACUAAACAGCAACCAGAGUAUUCUACAACAAGACAUUGGGACCUAGCUUGACCAAUGUACUCAUGGCAAAUAAUGUGACUUCUGUUUACAUGAAUUAAAAUUGUUUCAGAUUGGGCUGUCCUGUUGGGUAAAAAAUGACACAGUUGCUGAAAACAAUCAAGCACUUACAUAUUCAGUGUCAUCAAGAAUCACUGCAACACUUUCAGCCCCAAGAAUCACAUCAAGACCUUUCUGGUGGCGCUGGGUGCAAUCUGAGUUCGAAAUCACUUUUGAAGGAAAAUAGACAUUACUAGGGUCAAGAAGCUUCGCUAUUUCAAUUGCAUAAGCUUUGUCACCCAUGGUGUAUAUAUACAUCUCAAACAUAUUGCUUGCUUCUUUCAAAAAAUUACGAACAAAUGGUCUCAACUUCGUGAGCAUCUGCAUUGAAUCUAGUGAGAAGAUGCUUCUGUCCGGAUCAUCUGCAAUUAGUACAUGAGGGGUUCACUAGCUAUAUUAUAUAUGCAUGGAUAAGCAACAGCAGUUUCAGCAAGGAUCAAAGGACAUGAAACAAGGACAACAGGGAAGAUGAUAAUGUCUACCAUAAAAAAAUCUAGCAUUCACUAGAAUUUAGUGAUCAUAUAAAAGCUGUUGAUCAUGCUGCUAAAUGGGAUCAAACUUAGAAAAGACUUGUAAAGUUCAUUUGUGCGUAAUAAAAAUUGAUGCUAACUGCACCAAGCCAUAAAAAAGGUAUGUCUAAGAACAAAUUAUUGAGGUACUAGAGGGUAAAGUCCUUAUAGUAUCAAUCUCUAACUAAACAACAUUAUGCAGGAAAUAGCAAAAGCAUACAGACAGGCCAUGAGUAGUGGCAUUUUAACCUCUAUUUUCUAUAUUGAUAUGCUAGCCGCAUUGGCUCUGCCCUUGGAAAACUGUAUGCAUUCCAGUCAAAAUUCAGACAUACAUGGCAUCUUUUCCUUUUCAUUGUCUGUUAGAGCAAUGACCCGACAUUGACCAGUAUUUUCAAAUAAUUUUGUAAAUAAUACAGAUUUAAAAUUAUUAGACAGAUUUCAAAAUUAUAAUGUAUAUUUAACUCAUGCCAUUUCCCUGUGGUUUCUAAUACUUUCAAAUAAAUUAGUGUAAAAAUGAAGUUGAUUAAGUAAAUCAUAACAGCAUACCAGCAUCUCUAUAAUUGGGAUCAGAGGUGGUACCUUAUGGUAAUAGAAUAUAAUUUAUAAAAAAAAAACAUGUUCUCAAAGCUUAAAAAUACAACUAGAUACUAUUACCUUUUAAAGCAGCAGUCCGAAUACCCAACUCAUUCUCAGCAGAAGAAAUAUCUUGGAGUUUGGUCGAGUUGAUCAGUGUAUGAUCCAGGUCUAAAAUAAGCACUAGUUUUCUUUCACGCAGCAGAUUCUUCAAAUCAGCGCCACGUAAUCUGUCAAUUUCUGAAGUACCUAGCCUCAAGCCCUGCAUUUUAAUAAUUCUCCUAAAUUUGUAAAACUGUUUGGAGAGAAGUCACUAUGCAAGUACAACUGGAAAUGGAAAAAAAAUGAAAAUACAGUGCCAACAAUGGUCCAAAAAUCAGCAUUAUAUAAGCCAGGUGCGAUAAGGAAACACCGCACUCCUGAAAUCUAUGUUAAGAUACUCCUAAAUUAUUUUUUGCAUUCGGUUUGACAAUACCUUGUGGAUGUAACCAAAAGCAACUCCUGAAGCAUCUUCUUCAUCUUGUGGCUUGCCACAUCUAAAGCAAAGCCCCCCAAAAUAUCCAGGAUGUGGACAUACCUCAACUUGAACAUUUUUAGAUGGGCCUGAUAAAAUACACAUUCAAGAAUUCAACAUGCCACUCUAUCACACAUGGACAAUUGGACAUUCAGUGCUCAAUAUAUGACAAACUAAGCCAAAGGCAAUUGUAACAGAAGAAAGAAAGGAAGAUACCCAAAAUUUUGGGGAUAUCAUGAAAAACAUAAUAGCCCCCGCAGCCGGACAAUUUGUUGUAUGAAAAAACAAAAAUAUAAAUGACUGACAGUGGGUUCUACUUUACAACUCUGAACAAAAAAAAUGUGACAGGGCAGCCAUUUGUUCAAUUAGUGCAUUGAAUAAAAAAGGAAACACAGUGCAGCCUAAAGUGAAAAUUCUACCCAGAAACACCACAUUUUUUAGUAUGUGAAUAUGUCCCCUUUAGCUGCUAAACUUACAAACAGAUUUGCAAAGCGAGGCUAACAAGCAUACCAGUGGCAAUUUUGUCAGGCCUAAUUGAUGUUCCUUGAUCUUGGCUCUGUUCCUCCACUCUACGCCUUUUAGCACUGGAUUUUGCAUGCAGUUGACAGCAGUCAGAUUUACAUUACAAAAUCUACAAAACUAGUCAUGAUUAGUUCAUUCUUAACACAACUUCAUCCCAUGAAUUUUUCUCAUCCUUUUCCUCAGAUACUACUAUACUAGGAUGCUCUCGUCAUCACUAUCCUCAAUGAUAACACUCUUACUACCCAGCAUGGAAGGCCACCACGCUUGAUACAAGUUGUACUAAGGUUAAUCAUCUGAUGCAGCAUUUUUACAGAAACAUGAUAUUUUAUACCAUCAAUACCUCCAUGAUAUUGUAACUGCUCAUACAGUUCUGUUCAUAUCAGAUUUGUCUUUAACAUCAGAAAUUUGAAUUUCAUGUGAAUCAGUGAUCUAACAAGCAUUUGGAUGGAUACUGAACACCAGAAAAUCAAGCACAAAACAGGAAAGGGCAGCCACCUAGCCUGCCUAGUCACUAAGCACCACCAGCAACCGGUGCCUAACUCAAAAACUGGAAUUCAAUGAUCUACCUGGACCUCUUUGGAUUAGAAGGGGUGGAUUAGGAUUUUAAUUAUUAAACAAAAUCCUAAUUCAUAAUUAGGUGUCAUCCUGCCCUGGCACAUGCCAAAUUUACAACUAAUAGGCCCCAAACCAAACAUGAGGGAAGUGAUCUCUGAAGUAACACAAGUUUUGAGCAAACACACACAACUCUCUUUGAAAUAGAAGAGUUAAUAUGGCUUGCAGCAACAAAGCACAUGUGAAUUCUAUCAUUUACCUCAUAGAUAGGAUGACCUUGUUGUCAGUAAACAGAAAGCUCAGUAACCAUUUACCUAACAAACCCUCCCGAAAAAAAAUCCCCAGGUUACAUUUAUUUGGAAGAUUUCUGGUGGAAGGACUGCAGCACAUGCUAGUAUGCCUUGUUCUAGUUUCAGCUUGGAAUAGCAUAGGCUGGAGACUGAAUCAGGACAAACGUAAUAAAUCAAUCUUGCAUACCACAAGAGGAGAUUGUAAGAUAGAGCAAUGCCAUCAAAUCAACUGGUUACAUGAAUUUCAGAUUCCAUACUUCACAUAAUAUAAAGUUCUGACUGAAUAGUCAAUGUGAUUAAGUGCGCUCAGUACAGGAGCAAUACAAAUUCGAGUAAACCCUAGAAGGAGAUAAAAAAAAACUUUCAGAAUCACUAGCUGAUCCACCCAGUUUAAGACGCCGCGAUGCAAGUAACAGGAAGCAAAAACCCUCGAGCAUAUGAUCUACCCAAUCAAGCACGGAACCCUAAUAAACUCAAACCGACGCAAAUCUGUUCCUCCCUACUCCAAUGGCGAAGCCGAUCAUCUAGCUCUAAAUGCGCGUGGAAUCAAAGGUUAUAAUCGCGUACCGGAGCUGCCAAACCCAUGGGGCCGUCUAGUGGCGAAGUGAGAGGAGGGAGGAGCGUGGAGGCGGCGCGUACCUGUUCUGUUCUAGGAGUUCAACUUCCACCUCCUCCGAAUCCUCAUCCUCGCCCUCGUCGUCGGUAUCGGGCGAGGCGGAGGAGGGGUCGCCAGGGAAGGCGGAGUCGGCGCCGGAGGCGAGCUCGAGCUCGGAGUCGAGGAGGGCGGCGAAGUCGUCGCUUCCGCUCGACGACGACGGGGACGGCGACGGCGCCUCGGCGAGGCUCAUGGGCGCGGCGCCGAGGGCACAGCCGCACAAGGGCAAGGAGCUCGUCGGGUGGGUGGGGAACGAAACGACGGAGCCGAAAAAAGAGGGGAAAAAACAGGAAAGAGGGGAAGCGAAAAUGGAAACGAACGUGUAAAUAAGAAGCGAGCUGGGCUUUUCUUGUUCUGUCCAGAGAGUAGCCCCGGGCAAAUUUUACCGAGAACUGAGAACCGAACUAACUGAAAUCAAACCGAACUAAUCAGGAACUGAAAUUUCGAUUCUCUGUUCGGUUCUCAGUUAAACGGUUCCUCUCCUUGGUUAACCGAAGAACCGGAGGCCCAGCUUGCGUCUAUUGCUUCUGCUCGACCCCGGAGGCCCAAUAAGGCCCAGCGAGCGAGUAGCCCUAGCCACUGCCCACUCGAGUCUCCACACGCCGCGUCCCGUGUCCCAGCCUCCUCACCCACGCCGCCCGCCGCAUCCCCACCCGCGCUGCCGCUGCACGCGCCUGCCCCGGCGGCCGGCGCGCCCUCCUGGAGUCCCAGUGCCCCCUUGCGUCCUCCCGUGGCGCUGCAUCCCUACCCGACGGCCAGCACGUCCUCCCAGGACGGCGUCCCAGGUGAGCUCGAGCGCGCCCGCCAGCACGGACCCCGACGACAAGUGAUCCUGGAGCAGCGACGCCUUCCCGCCGCUAGCCUGGCCGUCCUGGCCCUCGCCCUUCUGCCCCUGUCCCUGCCACUGCGCGCGCUUCAUGUGGCUGAGGUUGAGCUCCAGCUUCUGCAGGUACCCAUGCUUGAAUGAGUCCCGAAUCCGGAGCGAUGGCCACAAGUGCAUCUUCUUCAACGGCGCGAGAGGGGGUCGGUCAGACUUGGGGCAUUGACGGCACCGGGGCGAGGACGACGGCGAGGAGAAGCGUGAACCAUUUGGUCAGUUAGUUCGGUUCGGAACCAGAACUGAACCGAACUACCCGAAAUUGAACUUUGUCGGUACCGAUUUUUUGAAGAACCGAUCGGUACCGAGUUUCCUUAGAACCGAACUUCAUCAAAAACCGAAAAACCGAUCGGUUCGGUUCGGUAGUAUCGAAUGCCCAGGCCUACCAGAGAGAGACAGAGGAGGAGAUGAAUUUAUUUUAUUUUAUUUUAGUAUUUUGCAAAAUAUAUAUGUUCAAAUAAAAAAAUUGCAAAUUGCAAAUCUAUAUGCAUAUCUUCAACUUCCCUUCUAUGGACAUCAUAUCUUCAAAAAAUUAUAACUAAUUUAUCUGAACUCAGAUGGAGAUACAAUUUGUAUUAAAAUUGUAGUUCUUGAUGAGAUCUACAACGUUGUAGUUCAAACUUUUUUUAUUUGGAAUCAUCUUGGUGUUCAAAUAAUCAACACAAUUGAAUUUUAGAUCUUAACAUUGUGUCGAUUAUUUGAGCACCAAGAUGUUUUCAAAUGAAAACAGUUUGAACUAAAACAUUAUAGAUCUCGUAAAGAUAUACAAUUUUCAUGCAAAGCUUAUCUCCAUCCGAGUUCAUAUGAAUUAGUUAUGAUUUUUUAAAGAUGUGCUGUCCAAAGAAGGGAAAUUCUGCUGGAUUUUAGAUCUGAACAUUGUAUCGAUUAUUUGAGUACCAAUAUGAUUCCAAAUGAUAAAAGUUUGGACUACAAAGUUGUAUAUCGCAUCGAGAUCUACAAUUUUCAUAUAAAAUUUAUCUCCAUCUGAGUUCAUAUGAAUUAGUUAUGAUUUUUUUAAAAUAUGAUGUCCAGAGGAAGGAAAUUGCGCCGGUUCAAGGUUGGUACAGUGCACUUCCACGGGUUGAAUUGGUUGCAGCUGUUUCAAACGGCGCAUAGGCGGUAUGCGUAUAGAUUUACAAUUUUUUUAUUUGGAUAUAUAUUUUUACAAAAUGCUAAAAUAAAGAAAUGAAGAAAUAAAAAAAAUCGGCGAAGUGUGGCGGGCAGGCAAAUUAGUUGGGCUUUCCCCCAAAAGAGGCCCAAAUGGCCGCUGAGCCAAGGAGAGAUCUCUCCAUUUUAGAGCUGGUGCAUUCCCAGCUCAUUGCGGAUAUCCACUCCUUCUGAUAAGCCGUUAACCAUAGCUCGCGACAUAGGCCGUCCGAUGUGGGUAGGUUCGGGUCCCUCACCCAGCAACCCGUAAACCCAAUUGCUCGCGAAUCCUCUCGAACUGCUCGGCCGACAACCCCGUCCUCUCCGCGGCUCUGCCUUGCAACUUGCAAGCGCCGAGGAGGCCAAUCCUCUCAAACUGCUCGACCGACAACCCCGUCCUCUCCGCGGCUCUGCCUUGCAACUUGCAAGCGCCGAGGAGGCCAAGCAGCGCACGGGUUCCGCCGCCUCCGCUGCCGUCUUCGUCUCCACUCUCCUGCACACGCGCCGUCGCCGUCGCCCCUCUCCAUCAGCUUCUUUCUUCCCGCAGCAGCUCCCCUUCCUCGCGAGCUCCGACCAUCACGGCACCAUGGACGGGGAGUGCGAGAUGCGACCACUUUUCCCCGUAUCUCCGCAUAUCACGACAGCGUGGCGCUAUUCGCUCCACUCUCUCCGCCUCUCUUGCCGGGUUCAAGCCUUCAAGGCGGAGUUUGUUUGUUAUUUCCCAUUUGUGGGCCUGUUCGCUUCAGCUUAUUCAACCGACUUAUCAGCCACCAAACAGUAUUUUUCUCUCACAACAAAUCAGCCGUUUCAGCUUUUCAACCGGCUUAUAAACUGAAGCGAACAGGCCCUGGUAGGCACGAAGGGCCGUACGUAGUUGAAUCUUUUAUUAGCUUUCUUUCCAUCUGCUGCAGGGCAGCAUUGUAACAUGUCAUUUCUCAGUCGCUCUGCAUGCUGUAGAAGCACCAGGAAUCCAAAAUUACAGCACUCCAACGAAUAUACGAAAGGGAACCAGCAGAACAAUACAAAAAACUCAUAUAUUGUUGUUGCAACUUCGUUAAACAAUAACCAGAAGCCCCCUAUUAGCAAGAUUUGAGGAGUUGGUCUGAACUCUGAAACUCUUGGUAGUUGAUAUUGAACAAAUUGGCCGUACCUAAUUUAUUUGCACACUCAAUUAAGCAUUUCACCUGCACUUCUUUCAAAACAUAUGCUGUGUACUGUGUACACCUUCAUCUCUGAUGAUUCAACUCCUUUUUACAGCAGUAACUCUGUUUUUUAUCAUAUUGUUUGUUUAGACUAAACACAAUCAUGUUGUGUUUACACUAAGUAGCCUUUUACUAUCUAUAUAUCCAUCCAGCAUGCUUCAUGGAUACGGCCACAUGGAUACUGCCAUUUAUAUGGAGAUGAUUCACUGUUUCAGAUAGAACUGGAUAAAAUGAUACAGGGCUCCUUGGCACGGCUUGGGACAAAGGGGCUUCAGCUUCGCGCUAUAGUAACGCGCAUUAUUUAGCACCGUGCGUUACUAUUUAGCACUGUGCGUUACUGUAGUAUGAAGCCGGAACGGAUACCGAGACCUCAAAAUGAACUAAGAAGGAGGUGAAGCCAGUGAAACAAAAAAAUGGCUCCUCGCGGCUUCGGCUCUGCCUGCUACAGUACUAUUACAGUCGCGAAGUCGAAGCCCCCUAAGCCAUACCAAACGAGCCCAUAGUAUGCUGAAACUUCUCUGAAGCUGCUAUUUCUAGAGCUGGCACUACGGGAAAGCUAAAAAUUGCCGAGUGUAUUUUUUUUGCCGAGUCUUUUUUUGCGAGCACUCGGCAAACAAGCUCUUUGCCGAGUGCCAAGCCAAAAACACUCGGCAAAAAAAAUACACUCGGCAAACCGGGGCUUUGCCGAGUGUCAAAUAAAAAACACUCGGCAAAGCCCCCUCUUUGCCGAGUGUCAAAAAAACACUCGGCAAAGAGGGGGGUUUGCCAAGUGUCAAAAAAAACACUCGGCAAAUAGGGGGGGUUUGCCUAGUGUUUUUUUUGACACUCAGCAAAAAAAUAAUUUUUUUUCCUCUUUUCACCAUGAAAUUUUUUCUACUCCCCACAUACAACAUGGGGUACUCCAUGUUAAAAUUUGGUAUAUUUUUGGAUUUAUUUGCUAUAUUUAUUUAAUUAAUUGCAUUUCAAGGAAAUUUUUGGUAUAAGUCAAAUUUGAACUGCAAGUGAUUCAAAUUAUGGAACAAAAUGAGUAGAAAAAUGAUGUUCAUGUUAUUCGGCCCAAUUUGAGACCUGACCCAUGAAAUGAUAAGAAAUUUCGAACAUCUUGUUUAGGAAACACGACCACGAACGUGUGGCAGUGGUAUUUUUAAAUUAUAAAAAAACAAGCAAAGCCUGAAAAUCAUGAGAUUUGUCAUGAUGUGAUGAUAUCAUAGGUGGAGGCUGUGGAAAAAAAUUGAGAAUGUUUUGCACAUUUCAUCACGUACGAUGUUUACAAACCGAAGCAUUUCAGAAGAAGAAUAGUAACGUUGAGAAGGAUUGCAUAAGAUUUGGAGUCAAAAUGACGGUCGAGUUUUGAUUUGACUACAAAACUUUUUGUAUAGUCAAUAGAGAAUAUAUAUUAUUUCAUGUAAUUUUUUGACAAUUUUUUAAAACUGUUAGAUAUUUUUAAUUUUUUUUAAAAAUAUCUUUGCCGAGUGUCCUAGGUUAGACACUCGGCAAACAACUGUUCACCGAGUGUCACCCUAGGACACUCGGCGACCGUUUUUUUUUCCAACCGCAAGCCUUAUCCCGGCCCGCACCGCCCCCGGCCCCGCCGCCGCCCGGCCCUCGGCCCCGCCGCCGCCCGGCGCCCGCCCCCGGCCCCCCCGCCGCCCGGUGCCCGCCGUCGCCCGCCGCCGCCCCCUUCUUCCCCUCCGGAUCCGGCCUCUCCUUCCCCGGCUCCCUCCCUUCCGGCCGGAUCCGCGCCCCCUUCUUCCCCUCCGGCGCAGAUCCGGCGGCCCCCACCUCUCUCCCCUCCGGAUCUGGCGCGUGGCGGCGGGCGGCAGCGGUGUGGCGGCCGGUGGCGGCGUGGUGGCCGUGGCCGGGGCCAGCGGCCGACGGCCGGCGGUCUGUUUUUUUUUUUCCGAAAAUGUUUGCCGAGUGCUCGAUGUUCGACACUCGGCAACUCCACGUUUGCCGUAGGAAAGUUCGCCGAGUGCCGUUCGCCGAGUGUCCCUGCUGUUUCCGGUAGUGUGGGGUGUUUGUUGCAGUAACUCUGCUUCCUUCCUAAGCAGACGACGCCUAAUUGGAUCUCUUAUUGUGGUUGGUGUAAGAGAUGGAGUCCUUAGGCUUGUUGACAUGUAAUAUAUACCCUCCCCUCCUAAGCAUCUCAUUUUCUUUAUUAAAAGAGCAGUAGUACUUCCUUACUUCCUUAAUGCACGAUGAAUGCUGUAGAAUUGAAUUUUGUUCAAAUAAGUUACAUUGCUACCUUUUCUUCCUCUUUGGCAUGCUUACCUCGAUAUAACUCUUAUGCAUAUGCUUUAUCACUCACCAAUCCGUGUAGCAGCAUAUGGAGAAGAAGAAGAACAAUAUAAAUCCAGCUAUGCAGGGCAGCUAAGUAACUCUUAUGCAUAUGCUUUAUCACUCACCAAUCCGUGUAGCAGCAUAUGGAGAAGCAGAAGAACAAUAUAUAUCCAGCUAUGCAGGGCAACUAGACUUAGCCGAGAGCAUCACAAUGACCUGCCUCAGUUUAUGCUGGGGUACGGGUUGCAGUGAAGCUUUUCAUGUAGCGUUUGAGAAUUAUUAUAAUUUCCAUUUAUAAUAGCAACUGUAUUUCUAAACAUCAAAUUCGGUUACCAAUAUUCUCUGCUUGUUUUCGUUUCCAAAGAUGCCUGUACUAUAUUUGAUUACCACAGCCUCCAACAUCCUUGUUAUAUUUUGUAGAAUGAAAAUCUUAUGUUCAAGAAAAAAAAACAAAGAAGUAUAGCGAACAAAUUUAAAAAAUUGAUAUGAUCAUGAGGACCAUCGCUCGCACUGAUUAUUGUAGUGAAAAUUUUUGAAAGUCAGCCAAUGCCAUGAUCAAAUAAAAUUCCUAGAGGCUGUUUUCUCAGCCAGUCGAUGCGCACGAACCAAACAAUAGAACUGGUUCACCAUUUUCUGCUCCAAAACAUCAAUUUCCAAAUCAGACAUGAUAUGUACUAUCAUAUUUUGCGGAAGAAAAUUACUUUGUGCACUGAAAAGCGUUAUUAUUCUUCUAAUCUCGGUCACGAGCCACACUGAGCGUGUCAACGACGCGCAAUUGUUCUAGUAUUUUCUUUAAGUUGGAUUCCCCGCGACUCAACAAAAAUUCAAUAGAAACGUUAUGAUUGAGGUUAGGACAUUUAGGUCUUGGUAUUUGAAAUUAAGAGUUAGGGAGUAGAGAAUUAUCUUGAAUAUGGCGGGUUUAGAGAGAUUACCAUGGAAGCCGUCGAGGGGCUAACAGUGGGGUGGAUGGUCGAUGAACAAUAAAGGAUGGAGAAAGGAUGUCUAGUAGUAUCCAGUAGUGGUUAUUAGUGUUGGUGGCGAUCGAGGGUUUGUCCUUUGGUGGUGGUAGCACGGCUAGAGCCUCAGAUGAGGUGAUGGUGUAGGUGGAGGCGGGGCGGCUGAAAAUAAGGAAGAAAUAGGUGUGCGUCCUCAAGAGAGGAGUAGAGAGGAGCUUCCAAGGAGGAUCAGCCUCAGUGGCUGGAAAGAGGGAGCGAGGUGGUGCACGCGGGGAGCUCAUGUUAAAGGAAUAUGGAGUAAGAAUUGGGCGAGAAGGUGAGAAUUAGCAUUAAAAAAGGAUGGCUCGAUCUACCGUUGAAGAUUUUGAGUAUGUUGCCAGGAUAGCCAGAGGGCAUGGCCAGUUGAUUUUCCUGCUAGUUGACGUGAGAUGGUUGUUGACUGUGAACGACUUGGUGACGGCGAUUAUAUGCUGAGUUGAAGCAGGCAAACAGAGAGAGUAUGGAAACUGGUCAUGGGCCAGACAACUUAGCAAAUUUUGGCUCGACAAUAAUACAAGUGAAACACGGGUAUAUGAUGUUGGGCCCACGUCCAUUUUUAAUCAAUUUAUACACAUACUUCUUUUUGCAUGAAGGUGAUUGAAAUGCACUUGUGAAUGGUGAUGGAACAUCGGUGUGUUGUUGGGCCACUUGUAAAUAUUGAUUUGGAUUAAUCACUUAUGUAAAGCCUUUUUCCAAAAGAAAAGAAUUUGGUCUAAAAGAGAACUUAAGUGAAGCAUUUCAAGUUUCCCGCUCAGCUCCACUCUCUGGAUUAUGAUUUUCCUCUGAUGGUCGUUUCAAAAGAAAAGAUUGAUAGUCUGAUGUUGUCAUAUUCUCGUUGCUACCGAUCGGUUUUCAACAAUUUCAGUGCCGUAUAAGUUUUUGGCACUAGUUAUUUUGAUAGAAAAUAUACUUGGAUCCUUUUAGGCCGUUUUCACUUGUAAGGUCGAGCUUUCUUCAAAAGAAACCCCUACCAUUCUGCCGCUGCUAUGUCCCAAAUUAAGGACUCCCCCCCCCCCCCCCCCCCCCUCCGAAGCGUCUUUCUCACCGGUUCGCCAACAACUCCCCCAUGCACGCCGUCUGACUUACUUCCUUGUAAUUUUGGAUGGCUAAUAUAUGGAUCCGGACCCACACACUAGCCAUUAGGCACAUUGAGGGAGCCUCGUCCUGGUGUAGUCCGUUGGGAUGGGGGACCGUGGACAUGGGAGAACGAGGAUCACAAGGCCUGGAGAAGAAUACAGAAGACGCGAACGUGUAACUGGAUAUCAAGUGCAUGGGCCGGUUUGGAUUGCGUGGGCACGGAAGCUCGGUCACCAUUUGCCUGCUGGCCUGUUUCUCUUUCGUUGCCGAUCGGUGUCGCCAGAUGCCAGGGCUGUGCAAAGUUGAUGAGGACACUAGACACGGGGUAGUCUCGGCUGCAAGAUUGCAUGUCUUUUCUGCUACGAGGACGACCUAUGGAGAAAGUCAGGAUGAUGCAUGAUGGCCGGACAGACGUACAUUUGACGUCAAUCGAUCAUUAGACCGGAGGUAUGACUGUACAAACACCACUGUCUGCAGACACGGAGACGCAAGAUAUCGUGCUGCCUUACACUUCCAAACCUGCUCUGAGCACUCGCGCGAAAAAGAGAUAAAGGAAACGCGUGUGGUGGGACACAGUACAAACCUCGAGAAGCAAUAGGCUAGGGCCAGCGACAAAACGCAUAACGAUCGAUUCGCUUGGAUUUUCGCAUGGUGAUCUCAAAGUUACUUCUCUUGGCCUCAUUUGGGCUGCAGACUGUUCAAUCUUUUCACGGGUCACGUUCGUUAGGCCACGCUCUGGCACUUCAUAUUUUGUCCACAUAUUACAGCUCCUUGAAGGAUAGCACCGAGAUCACGUUCGUGGCCACCAUGAAAUAUUCUCAUUCCGGGCUCGCGACUUCUCUAAUACUGCAUCUGUCUUGUCCCACACAUUAACUGCAGCUGUUCAAAUGAAAAAAAAAGGUACAAAUUCUAACGCAAGUUGAGACGCCGGGUUCUGGUUUUGUUCAGGAUAGCAGCAUAUGAAAGAACCCUUCUCCGAAUUGAUUCCAGGAAAAAGAAUACAGAUAGGACAGCUGCUUGAAAAAACUAACUAGUUCGGGCAAAUAAGGCUGCUCCUGGUAGCUAAACCGCCACAUUAUAAAAAAUAUGAUUAAAUUGAUGUGUACGCACAACACCUCUAAAGCAUUUACUAAAGUGUGCCUAGAAUAUUAACUAUAUUUUGUGCCCAUGCAUAAGACAUAAUUGUACCGCAUCAAAAAAAAAAGCAUCCAACACAUAAAAAAUAUUAUUUAUUAGGCUAGCAUAAAAUGAGGUAGCUCAUGAACUAGCCCGACAUACAAGACGUCUCUUCCGAUCGGUUGGUUUAAUUUGGGCAACCCAGCACUUGGUACUUCAGGUUAGCACUACUUUUUACUCUCAAUCGAUCAAUGAAAUCUCAUGUUUAAUUUCCACGGCAAGGAGCAGUUAGUGCUAGAGAGACGUAGCCUCUGGUCAGGGGCGGAGCUUGGUGCAGUAAAUCAGCUGCUGUUUCUUGAUUUUUAGAGCAAAUUAGUAUGGCUGCCCCUCUCCCAUCAGUUUCUCGAGCUCCGCCACGCUAAAGAGGUCGGUUCCCGGAGUUGAUGAUCACUUGAACCUGCUAAAUGGUUUAGUCGUCGCAGCCGUGCAAUGCCGGUGCUUUUAUUUGCGACCAAAUGAAUCACCAUCUAUAAUUGUCUAAUAUGAUGUCGCGACUAAUUAAAGCCUGACCAGCUAAACUUUUAGCCCGUACGUCCAAAAAUCGUGGCCGCGGAUGGUUAGAAGAUCUAAAAAAAAGGGCAGGAGCACUCCCCCCUUUUCCACCAUCGUGGUGCCGCCGCUCCGAUCCGUUGCCCGCGCGCGCCCAAAGCGUGCCGCAAGCUAGCGCCCCCGACCACGAGUCAACCCAGCGAAACACGAGCGCCGAAUGGAAAGAAAAUCCACCAAGGUUUGACGCGAUCCAGCCGUGCGGAUCGGAGCGGAGCGCACCCGCCCCUCGAGGCCCCGGCACACGAGAUCGCCGCGGGAUCCCGCCCCACCCGAGCAGAAACAGGCCGGGGAGUGGAGUGGAGUGGAGUUGGUUGGCACGGGGGGACAGGUGAAGGGGAGAACCGACCCAUCGCGGAAAGGCUCGGGAAGAAUUCCAACGACGUGACGCACAGCCCGCACGUGCUUUGCCUUUGUGCACGAGAUUGUGACCGUGCCUUCUCUCUCGUUGCCUGCCUCCUGCAGUUCUGCGCAACGUCAAUCAGGUUGUCCGUGCACGGUAUAGUACAACAGCAAUAAUGGUGCCGCAUUAAUCCUUGUGUCUCUAAAAAGAAAGUCAUUCUGUAAUUUAAAAUUCGUCCUACAGUUCUUGCCAUUGUUUUUAUCGUGCUGCAUGAGUAGUACAAAUUAUCAUUAAUAAAUAGUGACAAAUAAUAAGGUCAUUUCAUACUUUUAGUAAUUUAUCUAAAAUUUGUCAAGAGUGAUUUUAUUUUGGAGACAAAUGGAGUACUUACGUAUUCGGUUUAUUUCUGAAGUUGCUCUAAGCUAAGCACGAUAGAACCGACCGACCUUCCUCGACAAAACACAAAAGCAAUGGCCUACAGCAGGCGCGCAAUGAUUUUUACUGCUACUCGUAUCACCCGUAGCUUUUGUGACCCUGGCCUAAAGUCACAUCUCUUGGCUCCCUUUGGUUCCUACGUUGUCCAAGCUUAUCGACAUGCAUAGGAUACACAUCAGCUAGUUGGGCCACCUCAUACUGGGCACUGGACCAUGGUUUCCAUGGGUCGCGCUCCGUUAGGCCAGGAUCUGGCACCUCACGUUUUGUCCACACACACACACCGGCCCUCAAGGCCCCAUGCACAUGCCCGCUGCGAGAUCCAUCACAUUCGUGGCCACCAUGGGAGAUUCUCAUUCGGCCCUGCAACACGUCCCUAUCACAUACAGACAUACUGCAUCUCUGAUCUCUCUCGUCCCACAGAUUUUACUGCAGCUGCUUUCAGAUGUUAUGGGUGCAGUGCAAAUUUUAAAGCAAGCUAGAGCGCCAGGUUUUGCUUUUGAUCAGAAUAGCAUCGAAGAACAAAAGAACAACCCUUUGUUAAUUAUUGGAACAAAAAACAAAAGUCCAAAUAGGAACCCAAGCUGUUCGAAAGAGAUACGUCCCAUUUGAUACCAGGGGCUAAACUUUAGUCCCUGUUACAUCGGAUGUUUGAUACUAAUUAAGAGAAAUAAGCCUAAUUACAAAACUAAUUGCAUAGAUGAAGGUUAAUUCAUGAGACAAAUCUAUUAAGCCUAAUUAGUCCAUGAUUUGAUAAUGUGGUGCUCCAGUAACCAUUUGCUAAUGAUGGAUUAAUUAGGCUUAAUAGAUUCGUCUCGCGAAUUAGCCCAGAGCUUCUUUAGUUAGUUUUAUAAUUAGCUCAUGUUUAGUACUUCUAAUUAGCAUCCGAACAUUCGAUGUGACAAGUGCUAAACUUUAACCCGAGGCCCUUGGUACCUAGCUAGAGUUUGAACACGAUUACAAAGUAGGGUAGCCAAAUUGAAGAUUGCAGUACUGCACUUGUGUGAUCAAUGAAAUCUCUCGUUUCGAUGGCGAAAAUGAAGUAUUUUGAACGCGUCUAAUGUGUAACGGCAGAUCAUCACAUUGUGCGCAUGGAGAAGGCACAUAUUAUAUGCAUGGCAAAGCAAGAUCAAUUACUCAUUUACUUCUACUACAGCAUAUGCCACCUCAGUUGCCAGCAAACCAUCAGUCCAUCACAGCGUUUUCUUGGUUGAUAAAGAUGGCGAGAACCAAAGGAUCAAAUUAAGGAUCCUGUGGUAGAGGUGGAUGGUGAUCGGGUGAUCCCUUAAUUUGCUCGCUAAUUUUAAGAAAUUAAUCAUCUGCUGAGUGCUGAUUGAUUGCCCCGUCGGUUCAGGACGUGGCGACCCAGAACGCGGCGGCCUGCUCCGGCUCCCACUGCUUGCUGCCGCGCCGCGCCGCCGCCGCGGCGUCUUCCGGCUCCACGCACCGGCCGCCGCGCACGUACUUGGCGACGCCGUACUCCUCCUCGGCGGCUUCUUUUACCUCCUCCUCCUUCUUGGCCUCUGCUUCUGGCGAUUCUUGUCCGUGGCACGCGGCGGCGGCGGCGGCAUUGCCUGCGCCGCAGGGGAGGAGUGGGAGCGGGAGGAGGCGCAUGCGGAGGCGGCCGCCGCUGCGCUCGGCCUCCACCCCGGGCGUGCGCACCGCGUACACGGCCAGCCGGCCGUCGCGCCGCUCGUGGACCAUCCGCACGCGGCUGGCGCCGUGCGCCAGCGUCGUCAGCGGCGGGGGCAGGGGCCGGCGCCUCCUCUCCUCCAUCUCCUCCGCCUCCUCCUCCCGGGCGCGCCGCUUCCUCUCCGCGCACUCCGCCGCCUCAGCCUCCGCGUAGCCCUUGUCGGCGGCGUUGCCGACCGGCGCGGCAUCGACGGCGCCGGUCUCGCACCCGAGCGCCUCGGUGCACAUCUCCAGGUUCUUCUUCCUGAUGCCGCAGUACGCCGGCUUCUUGGCGACAACCGCCGCGUGGGCGACCGUCACGUGGCGAGGCUUCACGGGUUCCUGGACGGCGUACAGCGAGCCCCAGGCGCCGGCGGCUGGGAUCUGCGGCGGUGAGUCGAGCAGCGAAGGCAUGGUGGAUGCAAACACACAGCCCACACACGAGAGACAGAGACACACAAGGGUGGAGGAGACGGCUGGUGUAUAUAAAGGUUUGGAAGGGACGCUGAUCGAGGGGGCAAGAAGAUGUGAUCGGGAGGGCAGAGGAUGUGGCGGCGACGGCGACGGGAAGGAGGCGCUCCGGCCACGAGAAGAGGGCUGCACCGGCGUCGCAGACUCGCAGUACGCGGCGCUGGCUGUCAGCUCAGCUGUGUAUUGUGGGGAAGAUCAGAGCCGGGUGGCACUCGUUUAUAUAGGGCCACGAGGCCGGGGAGGGCAGGGGCAGGAUUGUAAAUUAAAUUCCAGCUGGUUAUUUAGUCACAAAAAACGAUUGUUUAUUGCCAUAAUGGCUCUCUGACUGCGAUUCCAUUCCAUCCUGGUAGAAGAAGAAGAAAAAGGGCUAAAUGCACUCACGGCUGCUGUGGCCCAUAAAGGUAGACCGGAUGUAUUUGGACUUGUUGAUGCAGUAAUAAAGCUUUCGGCGCUGCUUUGCAACAUCGAAACAAAACAUCAGCAACAUUAAAAAUCUAUAAUUGCAACAAUAAAAAAAUAUGUGAAAAAAUGACUACGUUGUUCGACUCCGGCAUAGAAAACUCCCGCCGCAACAUGUAACAUUAUGUUUCAUGCAACAUUAAAUAAAAAUGAUGAAACAAUAGUUGCAACAUCAAUGUUGAACUAUUGAAACAUACGUCGAAGCGUCCGAUUUUUUUAAGAUUCCGGAUGUCCGUACUGCAGCAUUACCGUAAAGAUUUUUUUUCUUAAUGCUAUGAGUUAGUGUAGAAUUACAUAAUGUUAAGCCUUUUCAAUUUGGAGCAACAAGAGUAUCUAGUUAGUGGUGGAGCUAUAAAUUGAUAGGAUGCCUACAAAGUUUCCAACCGAUGCGUGCGUAGACAUUGAAUCUACGUAGAAAUUGGAUAGUCACCAAACAUCCCAUUUGCGUCAUGAGCCAUCACUCGAGUUAGCACUUUCUCUCUUUAUUUUUGUGUUGAUUAGCAACUUUCUCUUUUACUAGGCAUGUUAUUAAAACCUAAUAUGGAGAUAAAUUAAGUAGAGAGAAUGUGUGUCAUAUAUGAGGUAAGAGAUCGUCAUCCCUAUCAUUUCAGGAUCAUGGUUACUUAUGAGGUACUAUAAGAACAAAACUUAAGGCCACUUGAAGUGUGAAAUAUGUUAGAAUAUAUUGGGAAAUCUCCAUAUAUGGCAGAUUAGGAUUGAUUGUAGUUCUAGGAUACAUGCCUUAUCUAUAAGAUAGCCUCCUACUCUCCCAAGCAAUGUACUCUGUAUAAUCCGCUCAUAAAACUCAAGCAAUACAAUAAUAAUAUAUCAACCACAUUAAACCACUUCUCUAGUCUCCUUGAAUAACUUUUUGUCACCCUGAAAUUAAAUUGUUUCAUGUGACAUCCAUGCAUUCCAGACAAGCCCUUCAAGGUUGGCCGUACAAAACAUGGUAUAACUGUUGACAAACAACGAGAAGAACAGAGAACGAAAUGCUGAGAAAAAGGUCAGGAGAUGUAGCUGUCUCGGCCUCCCGGGUUCCCUCGGUGGUGGUCACUCCGAUGACUUAACGCCACCUUAUAAUCCUCAAUAUUUUGAUCCGCUCUCACCGUCAUCCAUGUCACCCCCAACUCAUCUCACGAAACUGGGAGCAAUGGCGUCCGCAUCACCUGCAUUCGGCCCCUUGCGUUGCAAAGAUGGGUGCCUCCAAUCGGAUGCUUUUUGGAGGGCACGCUGUUCACACGUCCGGAGAUUUUUGUUGGACGAGGGACGACGAUGCUAUGCAAAACGUGGACAGAGUUGCUGCAAAGCUAGCUCAUGCAUGCACUUGUAAUGUUGUGGUGGGUUGUUAAUUAAGAUCACCUUGACUAUCUGAUUAAGCAUUCUAUCUAAUACUUCAAUUCAAAUACAUAAUCACUCUUCCAAAACAACACAAUGACUUCAGCAACCUGAUUAUUGAUCGAUCAUGAAUAAUGAUGAAAUCACGUAACGCUACAACAUCUCAAGGAUUGCUGUCGUGACCCCUCGAUUAGAAAAUCCAUCGUGGAUGCUCUUGGCCUUUACCCAGCAAGCACUGGUCACACUCGAGAAUUGAUGGUUCAGAAUUUACUAACUAAAAAUCAAAAUCUUAGUUAGAAUUGACAUUUCUUCUAGCAAAUUCUCUAAGAAAAGGAGAAUGUCGAGCAAUUUCUCAUCUUUGUUGACGGUGACAUGAGGAGAACCAUGCACCGAUUGGCCCUCGGUGGCCUCUUUCUGAAAGCAGAAUUUCGCAAGCGGGUUGCUUUCCGCUGAUUUGGUGCUUCUGUUGUGGUGUGGAUAAGAGUAAAUCAUGGGUGAAAUGUGCGUGCCUCUCACAUCUGUUACUAAAGUUUGCCUAUCACCUAUUGGCGUAGUUGGAUUUUCAGUUUCAUUCUCAGACUAUCCGUAUUCCUAUCCGUAAGGAAGAUAAAGAAAGCAACGCUUGAAAGUUGCAGAUCAUAGAGUUGAUGUUGAGUAGUAUCUACUACAUGCCAAUUUUAUUCCCGAACUGGAUUGUAUGGCAAAAUAUCUAAAUUUGGCAUAUGGGGAAAUGAUUAGUAAAUCUAGUAAUUCUUAUUAAUGCAUCUGGAGGAAUUUGUUGAGAAGCAAAGUCCGGGAUUACAGCUGAAGUAACGAAGAAAACUCCAACAAUCAACUUUCACUGCUGAAAAACUGAGCAUUGGUUCUACCCUUUUAGUACCGUAUGAUUUUUGACCUGGUACUAAUGUGAGCAUUAGUACCGGAUCUAACAGCUAGUUUCUCAGGAGCCCCCCGUGAACCCCUUUAGUACUGGUUGGGAGCUUCAACCGGUACUAAAGAUCACCCAUUACCAGAUAGAGUCUCCACCCGGUACUAACCCCAGUCCCCGCACCCACCCCGUGCGCCUCCUUAUCCGCUCCCCCCUCCCCCCACGCGCCAUCCCUCUCUCUCCCCUUCCCCUCCUGCCACCCCCACUCCCCCUCCCCCUCCCUCUCCUGCCGCCGCCCCCGCCCCUAAAUCAGGCCCUAUCCCCUCCGCCUGGCCUCACCUUCUCCCUCUCCUCUCCGCCCUCUCCCUCUCCCCUCUACUCUUAGCUCCCCCCGAUGACGGCGAUCGGCCCCUCUCGCCCCGGCGACGGCCGCCGCCUCUCUCACUCCCUCCCUCCCUCCACUUCUCACUCUCAAGGCCGGCUAGCACCUCUGCCUCCCCUCCCCUCCCCUCCCCCCUCCGCUCGCCCCUCACUGGCAGUGAGGAGCAGCGGCGGGGCAAGGUGAGGCGGCGACGCGCAAGGUGAGGUCCGAUGGCGUGGACGGGGCGAUGGUGGGUGCGGGUUACAGGCCACAACGACGGGCGCGGAUCUGGAUCUAGGUGUGUCCCUCUCCCCCUCUCCCUCCAUUCCUCUCACUCGGCUUGACCGCUGGCAAGGGGCCAAGCACCCGGUAGGGCGCAUCUCCGGCGAGGGGCCAAGCGGCCGGCAGGGGUGUGUUGGCCCAAGGGCGGUGGCAGGAGGCAAGGGUGGCGACGGGGGCAACGGCGGUGGCAGGAGGCCCGACGCCGACCCGCUAGCUCAGGUGCGGUGGCGGGGUGACCGGGUGCGGCCGGUGGGAUGAAGCUCGCCCCACGGCGGCAGGGUGCGGCUCGGGCAUGGGCCGGUGGGAUUUUUUUUUAAUUUUUUAAUACCCUUUAGUACCGGUUAUUUGACCCGGUACUAAAGACCCCCCUUUAGUACCGAAGUAGCAAUACCGGUUACACAACCGGUACGGUACUAAAGGGGGUUAGGAACUGGUAUCGAAGGCGCUUUCCCAGCAGUGUUUUUUCAUUUAUUCAAAUUACUGUGGAUAGGAUUUUAAAAAAACAAAUUAGUUUUUCUCCGAGCAUAAAUUUGUCACAAUUCUGAUGCAAAAGGUGUAUUUAACUCAAUUUAUCAUUCCAUAUUUCUUUGAGGUAUGCGAACUCUCUCCUACAUAUCAACUUAAGUACUUAAUUCCAAUUCAUCUUGACAACUUUUAUUGAACUAUUCUUAUAAUUUUGACCCAAACUUUGAAACUGUCAACUUGAAUAAGUAACCUUCAAUUCAAAUAUAACCUAAGACCUUUAAGACUCAAAUAGUACACAAAUAUUAAACCAAGAAAAUCGAAGACUUUCAAUUGAGAAAAGUUAAUGAAUCCAACAAGGGUGUGGCUAGCUACCCGUAGGCGACAAGAUAUUUCUAAUAUAGAUAUAAAUUAAUUUUGAGUGGUCCUUAGGUCAAACACUAAGCACAUAAUAAAUCAAUAAGUAUAUCGGUAAUUUGGACGGUUGAGGUAGUUGCAUGUUUAAUUUGCUUAACAUAGGCCUAUAACCUUGAUGACCUAUAGGUUCCAACUUUUGCAUGUUUUAGAUUGGGGUAUCUAGGGUUGGUUAUGUGGUACCGACCUAUACGUCGGUCUUCACAUUAGUACCUGUCUUUUACCUUCUUAAGAACAAAGCAUGUCCGACAUAUAACUCUCACAAUAUAUUAUUGCUUGCCUUUUUCCUUCUUAAACGAAAGCAUUCUAUAACCUGGGUUUUCUUGCAGAGCUGAAGAAAUGGCUGGACAAUGUUGCUCCAGGAGAGAUGACAUCAAGACGCCUUUUGCUUUCAGUAGCCCGGCCCCUUUCGUGACCACUUCAGCACUUCUGCUCUUUCCUUGUUCCAAACGCGUACCAUCAAUGAAUCCUAGAUGUUCAUAUUGAGUGUGACAAUUCUAGUACCUUUUUUUUUGGCGUUGUGCGGAUCAAAAAAAUCUGCAGUUCGAUCAAUGAUAGAUCAUGCCGCGGUCUCGCUACAUUUGGAAGUGGAGGAUGGUAGAUUUCUUAUCUCUGGAGUUGUGAUGCUCGUCUCCAUUUCGACGCGCGUGCCCCUGGUAUCUUUUCCGCUAGAUAUUGUGUAGGGUUUCAGAAAAAUUGGUAGAGCAAAGAUAAAGUUACAGAUUCAAUGUUGGGAUUUGGUCACCGGUGAAUCAAAGAAAGUGAUUGAACUUCCUCAAACGGUAGCAGCUAAAAAACCUAAACAAAACAUACAUGUUGUGUGAAUACUUUUACUGCACAUAAAAGUAAUGGAAACCAUAGGUUCAUCUCCCAUGUCUCUGUUUCCUUAGUUAAGAAAAAAAAACUCAUUUCUGUAUCGACUCUAGAGCCGGAUUAAUCACUUAGAAUUUGGAGACACUAAGAUUUUAGGGCAAUAACACUGAACAAACAACUUUACUAAACAAGUAAGCAUUCAUGCAUGCUGAAAAGCAUGCAAUUGAUCACUGAUUCAGAGAUCAAACAGACCUCUGAGACAAGCCGACAACACUAGCAGAAAAUGAACGGCUACACCACGGUGAUGCACGAGCAGGCCACUAUCAUCUCCCCUAACGGCAUGUUACUCUUUACACGAAUUGCGAAUCGCAUGCCAAUUAGCUAGGGAAGCCGGCUUGUCGCUUCCUAGAACAAAGUGAAGCCUAUGCACCCUCUAUUCCUUGAACACACGGCAAGCGCAGUCCCCACAAAACCGAUGGAAGAACCAAACGAUGGUUGGGAGGUGGCACCACAUACCGCAUGUAAUCCUCAUGGACACAUACGUCAGUGACUGUGCAACAACAAUAAUCAUAUCAUCUUUAGUUUCUUGUUUAAUUAAACAAAGCCCCAACAAGUUAAACUUUAACACAUCUAUGCGUGAAUGAUGUCGACCUAAUCACUUUUUACUUUUUUGUGAGAGGACUAAUCACUUUUCACUCGGGGAUCAGCAAAAAAACAAUCGCGCUAACCUUUCGCUCCUAUGCCUCUCAUGUGUCCGACGAGUGUUUAGCUGAAUCCAGCACCACAAAGGCAAUGAUCCGAUGGUGAGCUGCUCGUCAGCUCAUGGUUUGUACCCUAAAAAAAGGAAAAAGUUUAUGCUCUGCUGAUGAAGGCAGUGCAGGCAAAAGGGGCCUGGAGACAAACUUUUGCAACAUAUUGGUAAACAAGGACAGACAGUGGAAUAGAAGUAGGCAGCUAGGCACCCACUAGGUACUAGUUUUGGUACCUUGAAAAAUCAAAUGCUUGUUAAUUAUUAGAUCGUGAUAGAAAAUAAAUUUUGGUCACCAGUACAUUGCUAACUGGAAUGCAUAUAUGGACUUUACGGGAACCUUUUUUCCAAUCCUAGAUAGGGAAUAAGUUCAGUUUGGCAUCUGUUUCUGUAGGUUCAUGAGAAAAAUUUUAUAUAUUACUGGAAAAGUCCCGGAUUCCUUGCAUAGUUGUUUACUGUAUUGUUGGCUAUGGAUACAGGUUUUAAUUUCUCAUGAUCAUAGGGUGACCAAAACUUAUCCAAUUGAAUUAAUUUGGAUUUCAAAGCGUGGAAAACGGAACGGAAAUGAACUAAGGUGCCAAGAUAACUCAUAACUAUCCAUUGGGUGCCUACUCGUAUCCCUAAAUGUGACUAAAGCUCUUCUGUGACUUAUGUUAAUUACUUUCAAUAUACUUUGAUCUAAAGAGAAGUCGCUGAAAUGUCACUGCAAAAUAGAUGUCCUCACUGCCUGCGCAAAUGGUCCUAUUCAUUUAUUUAUUGACCCAACUUGAAAAUCUAGCAUUGGCGAGUACGGAAAUCAUUUUUGCUGUGACAUUUCAUGGUUCAGGGAAUUUUUCAAUGGCACAUAUAAAAACUCAAGUUCAUCCACCACCGUACGUUCUAGUCUCAAUACCUUGAAAAAUCAACUGCUUGUUAAUUAGGUGCUAGAAAAAAUUUAGAAUGCAAAAGUUAUUUGGAGGAUUAUUUAUAUUGCUCCUGGGUUGACUCCACCUAGGUCUAUAAAUCAUAUGCUACGGAAUUGGUUAACGGGCAUAUAUAAUAAGAUAAGAUGUUUGAUCUUUGUAGGGGUUGCUACUUUUAUGUGGGCGAUUUGGUGUACUCAAAAUGAUAUAAUUUUUGAGAAAAAAAAGUUCACCUCUUUUAUGUAGACGGUAUUCAGGGGUGAAAGGAUCUUGAUGUUGCCUAGGGGGGUGAAUAGGCGUAACCUGAAAUCGUUGCCACUUAAAACAAGUUUAUCAGCGACUUGCGGAUUAUUCCAAAAAUACUUCCGGAGAUUCCGCAAAUUACAGAAUCUCCAAAGAAAUUUCUGGAAUAUCUGAAAAUAGGAAACACACGCCUUGAGAAGCGGAAAGAAAAAAAACUUUUUGCCUGAAAAUCGAAACUUCUGGUUUCAAAACCGGAACCUCCGGUUUUGGCUCGAGUAGAGAGAAAUCCCAAACCUUAUGCGUUGCAAGUGAGAUAAAGAUCAAAUCAUGUUUAGAAAGAUGCUCAGAUAGUGCUUCUUAGUAGGAUUACAAAGUUCCUGCACUUCACAAACACUAGCACCCGAGUAGAUCAACCAAUAUUAUGAGAUCACAAUGAAAUGGAAGUGCAAUGCAAAUCUAAGCAAACCAGUGAGGAGACAGUGCUUUGUUUCACUGAAGUUCAGAUUCACCUCCGGGCGAAUCCUACAUCUCCAUUGGGUGCUUCCAAAGAAGCCGGGUUGCACUCAAUCCUUUCCCCACUUCACUAGCUUCUUCCCUUUCGAAGGCGAAGCUUGACCUGCACAAACUGUCUCGUGGCUUACUACACCUUGGGAGCUCUUGGGUGACGCCUAGCCGUUUAGGAGGAACACCUCGAAGAGUAAUAAAUGCUUCACUUGAAACUUGACAAGGCAAACCAGUGCUCAAGCAUAUGAGUGCUCUUCUAGUACUCUCAAAUGACUCCUCUCUACUACCCAACUCACAAUAUCUAGCAAAGAUCACAUUACCUUACAAAAAGGGGUUGGGGAGAGCUAUGUGGCUUUAGUUCAGCUUAGAAUAGAUAAGAAGCACACCAAUAACUGUAAAAACAGCAACCAGCCACUGAGGGGGUCGUGGGGUAUAAAUACUCCACUCCCCAAAAACUAGCCGUUAGAGUUGUCAGACCAAAACCGGAACUUCCGAUUUUCCAAAACCGAAACCUCCGAUUUUUCAAACCAACUGGCCACUAGGGGUUGAGUUCCGGAAUUUUCUAGAACUUUCUCUAGAAACUCUGGAACUUCCAGAAUCUUCCGAAAAGUUCUUCAGAAACUCUUGUUUUGCCACUUCCUGAACCGUUAGUGUGUACGUGUGGUUUUUUAUGUCUCUCAUCCCUCACAAAAGGAUACUUGAGCACUGAGACUUUAUCAAAUGACCAUGUGAUGCAUCCCUCUUGAUAGUACGGCACACCUAUACUCAAGAUCAAAACAUAAAUACCAUAUUCAUCCUUUUGAGUUUCUUUACCAUGAACCAUGCCAUAUUUCGAUAAUCAUAUCUUCUUGAGAGCUGCAUCCAUCUUUGUCUCUUUGAACUGAGCACAUCAAUCUUGAGCUAGUGACUUGGAUCAAUAUUCAACCGUAUAUGAAUAAAAUCCUAUUUUUAGAUCACAAGUCACUUCUUCAUAUGACUCAAUAAACAUUUGAUGCAUCCCAUUGCUAUACUCGGUAAGGCUUGACUUGAUACCUUAAAAUCCUCCAAGCACUAGCCGCUUCACCCUAGCAAAGCUUAUGGCCCAAGUCACUACUUACCAAACUUUGCCUAGUACCUCGUUCCUAAUCACUUGCUUGAUUUUUCAUCCAAUCGCUGCCGCAUUGAGUCUAGCUUUGUUUUGUCAUCAAGAAUGAAAUCCUCUUGAGAUCAUAUCUUCUUUUGAUUUCUAUAUCCCAUUUAUUUAUAACAAGCUUAUCAUUUUAUUUAGAGAUCAACUGAUAAUCCAAUGCCAUCAUGCCUCUAUCUUUACUUCAAUUUGCUUGUCACAUAUCACAUAUAACUAUCAUGGGAUUUGCAUAAUAUUCCUUAUCAUGACAUUCAUCUUUAACUCAAGAAAUCUUGCGAUAUGAGGCUAUCCAAGCCUCAACUCUCUUUUACACCAUUGCUUGCUUAGAUGAACAAUGUCAUAUACCGUAUUUGUUCUUUUCACUAUAUGAGCCAUUUAAUACAAUCUUUCCUACAAAGAUUAUUCAUCAAUAGUAUUAUACCUACUCAUAGACUUAACAAGCUCAUUAGACCUUUAAUCACGUUAGCAUUCAACUCAUCAAAACCUACUAGGGGCCUAGAUGCUCUUUCAAGGGGAGCUUAUUGGCUACGAUUGUGGUCCCUGUUGUAGCGUGAAGACACAAAGGAAUUAGUUCAGGUGGCGAGUAAAGCGUUGGAAGUCAUCGCUUUGGAUAUCUUCGCAAGAACGGAUGGAGAAGCAAUAAUAGACUCUGCUUAUGAUUUUUUCCUUAAGAUAAGUGAACUUCAUUUCAGUGAUUAGUUGUUAAACUAAUUUUUCUGUAAGAAAGGUCGGAGACAAUUCUCUUUCUAAAAAAGAACAAAAUUAGAUAAAGAAAGUCCAGUCUACUUCUUAUAAAUAAUUUUAUUCAUCAUCCACCAUUCCUACGAUGGUAUCUAUCUAUAAAUCUACCUGAGACUUGGUAGUGAAAGGAAGCAUAAACAGAUUGUCAAAAGGCGCUGUACUAUUGUAAUCAGCCCUCCAAUGAGAGAGGAGUUGCAAGAAUUUGAAAGGAUUUGAUUAUGCUAUUGAAGUUUAUGGGAUAUUUUUUUUAUGCUACUAAAAUAGUCUCAGAUACCUGCAAAACAAGUUCGCCUUCAAUAUGUUGGUAUAUUCCCUUUGGUUGGGCUUCCAAAGUGCUUUUGCUACUAAGAAAAGCCAAAAGCCCAACCAAAGGGUAGAACCACCAGCAGCUUUCACAAAAGCAAGUGUUUUCUCGUAGUAUAGUUUUCAUAGUAGCUCCCAGGGUGCUUUUAGCAGCUGCGGCUUCCAAACUUUCGGGAAAAUCACCCACCUGCCACUCGUAAGUGGUGUACCGCUUUGUUUCUUUUCUUCUCCGCCAUCUCUCUCGCGUGCGCUUGUUCCCUCCGGCGACGCCCACUCCCUCUCCGGUGGCGGCGCCCGCUUCCUCUCCGACGGCGCCCGCUCCCCACUCUAGCGGCGCACGGGGGUUCAAGAUGCAGCGGCCCUCUCCGCCCCCCUCUCUCCUCCUCCGGUCCUCGGGAGGCGGUUGUCGGGAGCUUGGCCAGGCCUCCAGUGGUGUCGAGGAGCUUGGCCAGGCCUCCAAUGGCAUCGAGGAGCUUGGCCAGGCCUCCAGUGGUGUCGAGGAGGUGGUAGGUGGGGCGAAUGAUGUGGGGGUGCGGGCUAUUGGGUGGCCGUGGCGCACGGCCGGAGGAUUUGGCCGGCGGGUGCUUAGGGCGGCAGUGGUCAUAGCGGGUCGCAGGAUCUCCAAUCCUCGGCAGAGGAAGGCACGAAAGCGGCAAAGGAUUAGUAGAGGGGUAGGUGGGGAUGUGACGGAGGUGGAGGCGCCAGCUAUUGGAUGGAGGUGGCCGGAGGUGGGCGAAGUUGGCUAGCGGCGGGAGGAGCUCUGCUCGGCUUGGUUCUUCUUGAGCUGGUGGAAGAAGAAGGAAUGAGGGAAAGAGCAAGGAUCCCUCCGCGCCGUCUAGCGCUGCCCCUCCGCGUCGUCCGGCCGCGCUGCUGGCCCUCCUCACCGGCCGGCCGUGCCGCUGCCCCUCCUUGCUGGCUGGCCGGCCGCGCUGCUGGCCCUCCUCGUCGCCCCUCCUCGGCAGCCGGCCGUGCUGCUGCCCCUCCACCCUGGCCGGCUGCGCUGCUGGCCCUCCUCACGAGAGGGAUGACAGAGAAAAAGAAAAAAAAACGUGUCAAUGACUGUAGGGUCCGUAUGUCAAGGAAGUAUGAAUGACACGUGGGGUUCGCUCAUAAGUGUUCCCAAAAGGCCAUAGCUGUUUCACCAAACGGCUUUCAGUUUUCUCACAGCCCACAACCUACAACAACUUUUUUCACAGCUCACAGCAGCUUUUUCAAAAAUCAUAGUUCAACCAAACACACCCUAAGGUCCUACUAGCUAUUUGGUGACUUCUGUUUAUUGCCUUCAUUCAAAGCAGAGUGAUUGUUUGCUUAUAAAAGAAAGAUUCCAGUUCCUGAAGUGCCACAGCAAAAUUGACGUCCUUUUAUUGCCAUUACUUCUGCAAAUGGUAGCAUUCAUUAUUUUAUCCAAAUACUUAUUUGCAAGCAAUGGCAUUGUACAUGAACAUAUAUUUUGCAGGAAACUUUUCUAUGAUUUAUAAAUAAAAUCAUUUAUUCGUUCAUCCACCAUACCGUAGGUACUAAUUUAAUUUGCUAGCUUGAAAAAUCAACUGCUUGUUAUUUACAUUGUGCUAGAAAAAACUGGAUAGAGAAUAACUUCAGUUUGACAUCUAUUUCCCAUGAGGUCAUGCAUCAUCAACAUUCCAACCUACAUGCCCAGUAUCUAUUUGUAUAUGUAUAAGACUUGGUAGUGAAAGGAAGGGGGUGUUUGGAUACCCCUUGCUAAACUUUAGCACCUGUCACAUCGGAUGUUUGGAUACUAAUUAGGAGUAUUAAACAUAGUUUAAUUACAAAACUAAUUGCACAGAUGGAGUCUAAUUCGCGAGACGAAUCUAUUAAGCCUAAUUAGUCCAUGAUUUAACAAUGCGGUGCUACGGUAACCAUUUGCUAAUGAUGGAUUAAUUAGCCUUAAUAGAUUCGUCUCACGAAUUAGACUCCAUCUGUGCAAUUAGUUUUGUAAUUAAAUUAGGUUUAGUCCUCCUAAUUAACAUCCGAACAUCCAAUGUGACAGGUUCUAAAGUUUAGCAUGGGGUAUCCAAACACCUUCGAAGAAUAAACAUAGUGUCAAAAGGCAGGGCAUUAGUGUAACGUGGCCUCCAAUGAGAGGGGAGAAUUCCGAGAAUUUGCAUGGAUUUGACUAAUUGUACUCAGCACUUCAGCAGCGACGCACUAACCGAAAGGCUAGAUGCUCAGGGGCAGGAAACUGGUUAACUCAGAGCAGAAGCAGCUAUGAACAAAUACCCCUAAGAAAUUUGCGAAAAGCGCGAUUCAGAAUACCAACUGGACCUGGGGGAAUACAUUUGGGGAUAUGCAACUGGAAGAGAACCUUCCUCCAAUGCCCUCUUGUACGGUGAUGCGGAAUACCAACUGGACCUGAAUGAAUGCAUUUGGGGAUAUACAGCUGGAAGAGAAGAAAACCUUCCUCCAGUGCCCUCUUGGACGAAAACUAUGAUUAUUAGCGAGAGUACGAAAGCAAUCGCAUAAAGUUCAGCCCCCAAAAAAUUAUGAAAAGCAUUCAUCAAAUUGCAUUUUAGUAUAAUUGUUUAAGUACUAUAAUGUAUUGUUUAAUAGGAAGAAAUCAACCUGAAAUCAGCGUAUCAUGGUACUUAAAAGUCCAAAGAAAGAAUAGUUUAAAUGGCACAAGCAAACUUUGGACUUCCCUGGUUCAGGGACGAAAGAGAAUUACUUUUACGUGGAUGGACGUGGUGAAUGAAUUACUUUUACAGUGGUGGGGAGAGACGCUUCUCAAAUAAGUGGGUCAGCGGGUCUAGUUCAGCUUCUGCGUUUUAGUAUAAAUGGGAGCGGUGGGAAGAAGCGCGGCCAAGAGAAGCUGCAAAAAAGCAUCCCGUUUGGCUAGUAGUUUCAACUUAUUUUAAUCAUAAGCAGGAUUUAAGCUGUUCCAAACGGGACUUAGUUCUGUCCAGGGACGGACCUGCAAAAUGUACAUUCGUGUUCAACCUCUUAUAUGUGCACCUGAAACUUUCAGUGACAGCCGCACAUCUCCCUUGAGGAGCUCGAAGUUGAACAUGAUGAAAAUGUGAAACCGUGUGUUUAGUAAUUAGCAGCAUGGAACGAUACAAUCAAGGUGGUUUGGGUGAAAUAAUUUGAAUAUGUUUUUUUAGUCGAGUAUAUUUGCUUUGGGUCAGCUUGUCUGAAAGUGAUAAACAUCAUCCAGAAGAUGAAGAAUGUUCGUACUCUAGUGACGACGGGGGACAAUCGCAGUUGGUCCUUUUGAUUUCAGAAGCUUUUGAAGACCACUACAGGUACAGAUUACAGCAAAGACUUGCAUGGAAACAAUUAUUCGCGUUCGUUGGACUCCCUAGAUUAUUCAAAAUCACAAGUUGUUCGAGAAUAACAUUCCAACAAUGAACAGGAAAAGCUUUAAGAUGGAAUUUGUGAUGGUUAUCAUAGAGCAACGGAAAUGGUUAGAUAUUCUCCCCUCUUGCACAUUUGUUGUCUUUGUUUUCCUGUAAAUCUAUAAUUAUAAACUCCUUUCACAUUUAUAUUGUGAAUAUAUAACAGCAUGAUCAUUUCUACUGUUCCUACUCCCAACUGUUUGAAAUUGAGUGCUUGAAUAUAAAUGAGACACGAGAGACGAGUGGAUGAAUGUUGUAUUGAUCUCAUAAAGUCUGUACAUAUAUACAUAUAUAUACGUGAUAGAAUCUGUAUACACACACAUGGUGAAGAGGCACCACACCUCACAUCUAUUUGGUAUGAAGGGAUAAAUUUAAAAUUAGAUCACAUGAUAAAUGUUAAAUAACAUCAACUAAAACUUUGAAAGCAAAUCUUUUUCUUUUGGCUUGCGCCAGAAAAGGGAAAGAUUUAAGCUUAAAAAAAUGUAGGGUCGCUGCAGAUCCUUUACGAUAGCAUCAUCAGUUAUCAGGGCGACUGCCCAUCACUUUAGAUUAUCACUUGUUCUGAAUUUACAACAUAUAUUACAGAUUAUCAUAUACCGUAAAGGUAAAGGCACUAGUCAGUAGUCACUACGUCAACAUCAUCUCAAUAAAGUAUUAAUCAACAAAAAUUGAUUAGUAUAUCCAUCCAAAGAAUUAAUUGCAAAUAAACAAGGUAUAAACAAACGUGAAACCUCAUGAUCCAUGAAGAUUUUGGAUUUCAACUUUCAAAGUUUGGAGCUUACGCUCAACAGCAGACAGUUCACCCUGAACACCCUGCAACCAAUCUAUUUUUUGCUGACAUGCUUCCUGGUACGGUUUGCUGAUAACCUCAACAAAACGGACUAGGUUAUUAGCACUCUGUGAGAUAUCCUUUUGGAUAGCUUCAUCAACUUUCCGAGACAAUUCAUCGGCAGCCUUGUUAACCUUCUCUAUUGCAAGCUUCCGUCGACCAGGGAAACUUGAUAAAACAAUAAACCUGAAAAGGACAAUCAGUCCUUAUAUCAAUAUGGAUAUGGUUUAUGGUUACACACCACUCUUCCCAUUUCAUUGUCAACGGACUCGCUAAAGAAUAAAUUCCAAUUAUCAAUUAAGAAUUACCCGCCAGCUGAGCAAAGUGCAAGAGCAAGAAGAUCUUCAAGUGUAGUUGACAAAACAGACGUCAAAAGAGAAGCUGACAAUCCAGCAACGCCUAGUCCUCCAAAUGUUCCAAAAGCCUUCAAGUGCAAUAGCUAAGCUCAGAAAUAAACAUAACAAUGAUGAACAACAAAUGGAUAAUGAAGUGAACUGCGGCUUGAAGUCUUGCCAUGCACUCAGAUAAAGACAAAGCUUAUGAGUUGGUGAAUAUUCAGUAAAACUUAAAAUGCUUUUAAACCCUUGAUGCUGGUCGUAUUCUUACAUUCCAAUUCAUGAUGUAUGUAUAUUAUUUUUGAGAAUCAUUGCAGAAAAUAAGCAUAACUGCUGAUGUUUUUAGAGUUCUUCACAUCUGUUUGUGACAGAUCGCUCAGAAAACUUUCUUAUUCAGUGGGAAAAUAAAGUACAAAAGGAAAUUUAGUCAUCUCUUCUUGAUGAUUCCUACAUUUAUAAUCUUCUUAUACAUGCACGUGUUCAAAAUACGGCAUAGUUUAUAAUGGUGUGAAUAAUGAAGUACUCCCUCCAUCCCAAAUUACUAUUCGUUUUAGCUUUUCUAGAUACAUAGCUUUUGCUACGUAUCUAGACAUACAUAUAUCUAGGUUCAUAGCAAAAGCUAUGUAUCUAGAAAAGCCAAAACGAAUAGUAAUUUGGGACGGAGGGAGUAGCUUUUUGUCAAAGCAGAUAUAAAUCAAAUAGUUUAGAUUAAUAAGAGCAAAGUACAUUAUGCCCUCAAACUAUUACUUCAGAGGUUUAAAUAUUCUGGUAAGUGGUGGUAACACAACUUAUGAUUGUUUUCUCUCGCAGAUAAUCUUCAUUGUUACAAAAGUUCCUAACAUAAUUACCUUCAUUGUCCAAAAUGUACUGGCAUGAAGCUUGUACUCGUGAAAAUCAUGUUGCUAUCAUUCUUUUAUUUAUAUAUGCAUGUUACAAUAAACUGCAGUUUUCAGUAUUUCCCUAGGGCUUUCCAGUGGUUUGGCCUAUUAUCCUAGUUAGCUUGUCCUAAACAUCAUAUAUUUGAGAAUGGAGGUAGUAUAAUUUAAUAUCUGUGCUGAAACUUCAGCUUUUGCCCCCCAUAAAUCUAAGUGUGUUGUACUUCUUGUAAUUAGAGCCACAACAAUAGGGCAGCAAGCAUUUUUAUUUUGAAACAUAUCAAUUGGCAUAAGGAGAAUCAGGUCCAUAAUAAGCAUACCACUUCUCGGAUUUCUUCUUCAAAAACCUUAGCAGUAGAACUGGCGUCAAAGCCAUCCAGUGCCUUUACAGUGAGUUUCUCUCCUUCAUUAACAAGUCCAUUUGGAUCUGACAGGACCCUUUCUUCCUGAGCAACCAGUGCAGCCCAUCUUUUGUGGAAACAUUCCAAAUACAAAUUUGCUUCACGUGUAUUGCUUGAACUUAGCCAUGUUGAAUAUUCACCCAGUAUAUUCUAACAAAAGAAAGGACUUUUAAUGAUAACAUGAAUACGUAAGCAUGCAACACAAAUAAUUAAAAUAUGAAGUAAAUGUCAGAUAACAGUUAUGUGGUAUAAAUGCAAAAUUACCCCCUUUUGAAGCAAUUUUGGAGAACUCACAUAUUUUGCACAUAUUAUCACAAAAUUACACUUUUAGCUAAAGCUGUUAAUUUGGACAUUGAUUGACAUCCUAGGCCUGCAUGCAAGACACCAGUUAGCUUUAAUGAUAAAUGAGCUCUACCAGCCUUACAUGUAGGUCCAUGAUGUCAGUUGACACCCACACAAACACUGUUAUUGAAAAAGUGUACCUUGUGAUAAUAUAAACCAAAAAAGCAUAGUUCCAUGAAAUUUAUUCUUAGAAAAAAUAUAUGAGAACAACGAUAGCAGUUAACAAAAAGAGGGUACCAUCAUUUUGAGAAAUAGUAAAAUUAACAAUGCUAUAAAAUGUUUAAAUUAAAUUAAAUUAAUUGGCUGCUCAAGAAACAUUAAACGAACUGGCACAACUUAGCUCUGUUUGCUUACACAGUUCAGGUUUGAUGUGUGGCUAUGUGAAUGCUUAUUCCAUAAACAUGCAAAACCCAGUUCAUUUAAAAGAUGGAGGUGGGUACUCCCUCCGUUCCAAAAUGUAGGCUGUUUUAAGUCAAAACUUCUCUAACUUUGAUAUAGCGAACAGUUUGUCAGCAACGGUCAUGCUGCAUUAGUUGCCAGUUUAUUUAUGCAUUCACACAUGAAUCAUAUGUAUACAAGUAUAUGUUGAUCAGAAUAUGACAAGAUUAGAGUCAGUAUAAUAUCAAACAUACCACAGCAUCAUCAAAAGCUGGAGUCAGAAUGUCAUUCUGAACAAAUGACGUGGCUCUGGUCGAACUGCCUGUUUUUCCUUUAACUGUGUACGUAAAAAUAAGGUCAAUGUUUGACAACUGAAGGAUAGAUUUCAUGAGUGUUACUGCUCGACCUUUUGCUCUCUCAAUCUGCAUGAAAAAAAAAUAUAACCAUGCUAUCAAUGUCCAGGAACAAAUAAGUAUCACUCGAAAGGUCUCACCAAAUCACUCAAAAGGUCUCACCAAAUGCCAUUGCCAACACUAGGCAAGCAGUAGAUACAUUUAUGACAAGUUAAAGAUUGUAUAUUUGACCACAUGUGAACUGGAGGACGAAACUUGAUGGGAACUAACAUGGAUCAAAUGACUAAAUUAUCCUCAUAUAUGCACCUGAAAUGAUACAUGUGCUCAUUAUAAAAAGAAAAACGCAACUGCAGCCCUUAAAAUUGUCCUGCCAUUUCAUCUACAUCCGUACACAUUUAAGAUUAAGGUCUGGGUCCCUAAACUUAAACUUGUUAAGCAUGUCACUUGAGGUUCACAUCUUCCUAAUUAGCAUCAAUUUACCCUUGCGGGUCAAGAACCACCAAAUCAGCAUGAACGGACAGGUACAUGAUUAGAAAAUGGUUGUGUCAGUGUGUGUAUUUCUGUUCAGGUUGCCCUCGUGGCACUGUGUACAGGCCAGCCAGCCUUUUCUUUGGUUAUCUUAAUACAAUGACACAACUCUCCUGUGUGUUUGAGGAAAAAAGGAUCUAUAUUUGCAUUAUAAGAGUUCAAGGAACUGAAUGAUAUCGUGGUACCAGUCAAGGAACCUAGUGUAUUUAACUCUAUUUAGAAAUGAUGUUGAGGGAGGGAAAUAUAAGUACAAACUACAUAGCAGGAAAAUCAUCAUUUGGUUUCAUUUGGCCAAAAUUUUGCAGCAAAGGCAGGAGAAACACAUGCCUUAUAUUUCUGUAAAUGAGGGAGUAUAUCAAAGUGUAACUUAACUAAGACACAAACAACCAGUAAUCUUUGAAACACUUACAAGAGAUGAAAUCUGCUUCUGCCAAGAAUUGCUAUCAGCCUCAAGCUUGGAAGCAUAAUUGUUUGCACCAGAAACUAGAUCCUUGAUGGAUGUUAAGUCAUCAACAGCCUUUUCAUAUUCUAGUUUCACAAGUCUUUGACAUGAUGUUAGCAAACGAUCUGCAAUGCCUAUUGGCGUUUCAAGUUUCAGCCGGACCCUUUCCUUUCCAUUUUCUGUUGAACUAUCCAAGAAGCUCAGUAAGUAAUCCUCAAGUUCACAGAACUUGCUGCUUCUCCAUCUAGGAUCAUUAAACAUAGCUUCCAUCAAAUGCUUUCCACCACCGUUUUUGGAAUAUGAAAGCUUGGCUUCCAGCGCGGAGCGUGAAGAUACAGGAAACAGUGUUACAUCCUCUGUGUUAAGCAAUUUCUUUGCAUUUUCCUUGACAAAUGUAGUAGCUUCUUCAAGCUGCAGACAUCAUUUUGAGAAGCAAAACAAUGAAUUAGAAACAAUCAAACAACCAAUAGGAACAAAACUAUCUUGCUGGGAUUUUGAAUGGUACAGAAAUGAUGACAUAUCAUACCUCAUAGCUGUUCCGAUAGAGGUCCAAUUUGUUUAGAACAAAUACAACUUUCUUUUUCCACUGCUGGACAUACUGAAGAAAUCCAACCUAGAAGUUACAAGAAACAACGUUUAGCCCUAUUAGAAAAUAGGGAAAAAAAUUACAUCCUCCAAAUAUAAAUCAGAACUGUACACUCUAGAGGCUUGACAUAAAUAUGCGUAUCAGCAAGAAAUCCAUGGAAAGAGCCCUUUCAAUCAUUAAAUUUUAUAUUUAGACCAAAAUGCCUUUAGACUGGCACUGACUGGAAGUCCAAAAUUUUGAAAUGUUCCUGCUUAUCAAUUAAAAGUUCAAUCCAACAACGCCAUGCAUAUCACAAUCUUAACAGUCUACUCUUUAGAUGGGAUCAAUACUGUAUCAUUUGUCUUUUAUGUGCUGAUAAAAACCAUAAUAUUAAAUGUGUCAGCAUGUGGCAUAAUCAGAUUAAAAAAAGUUUACCUCACUUUCAGUCAAUGGUCUAUCCGAUGAUAGGACAAAGAGUAUUAAAUCAGCUCGCGGCACGUAUUCUUCAGUAAGUCGUUGCUGCCUCUGAAGAAUAACAUUGGUUCCAGGUGUAUCGACUAGAUUCAUCUGUUAAUUAGUAAAUAACUAAAUAUGGAGCACCUUAUGAGAAGCAAAAUGAAGUAAAGCAAGAAAAUGCACUGCUGAGUUGGCCAUGUUACUGGGGCACCAACGCAACUACAGAAAGUAAAAAAAAAAGGUGGAACCAAAACUGGAAAUAAUUUCAUGGCACCAUCAUUUACAUAUAAUAAGUGCUGAUUAAUAGCCAAGCAGUCAGGCAGCUACAAUUAACAGACAGGUACAUGUUAUCAGCUACAGCAGAUUGAAGGAGAAAGAAGUUUGUCAUAAUAAUUUAUCAUAUUCCUUUUGAUUAUUUGAUCAUAAAAUGCUUUCAUGGAACCAAUACAUCUUUGAGUUCUAUUCAGAAAGCAGCCUUCAAAUGGGUGAAAACGGAAAAUAGACCCAGCUAGCUAAGCUUAUUUAAUCUCAGAGAUGCAUGCAUUCAGUAUCAUUUAUCCUUAGCUCUUUUAACUUAACGUAUUGAAUAAUGAACUGAAUGCAUACAUCCCUGAGGUAAGGAUGGAACAUCAACAUGGCAGUCACCAACAAUUCAAUACUUACUAUUAGAUAUGUAUACCUUAUUGCCUUGUAUACUUGAUUGCAUUCCUUGUAUACCAAGCCAUAUUGGCUAUAUAUAUAAAGUCCCCCCCCCACUCCACACACACACACACAAUUGGGUGUGUGGUGUUUCCCCCCUUCUACCACUCUACACUUAUGUAUUGAAUAAAUGAUACUGAACGCAUCCAUCUCUGAGAUUAGGAAAGAAUAUCAACAUGACAGUCACCAGAAAUUCAAUACUUACUUCCUUCAAAAUAGGAACAGAUAAAUAGCACAUGAAUUGACCAUCUGGGUGCCUCUCACAUCGUUCAAAGCUUUCAGAUUCAAUCUCGGAAUAUGAUAGUAGCGUGAUCUCAUUAGUCGUAGGCACAACUCCUUCCUGAAGAUACUGCCUUCCAAGUAGAGCAUUUAUAAAAGUUGAUUUUCCUGAGUUAAAUUCACCCUGCGACAAAUUGAAGGAGGAUCCACUCAGAACGAGUGUUAAAAGGAUUAUUGAACGAACAAAAUGAGUUGUUGAAUGCGAAAAAUGUAUAAAGUGGAGAACAAGCAGUCAAAUUAUUUCAUAGUGACUAAGGAAAUACUCCAGCUUUCAGGUUCAUACCAAAUAAUCAUGUGAGGAAAAUGAAUAUGACCAACACAUAUGUUUGUACAACUGUAGAACUGGACCUGUGCUCCUACUACUAGUUAGCUUACAGAUUUUGAGGGACCAAAGCCAUAGUUUAACUUGAAAAAUUAACUUGCAUUAUGUUUGUUUAUGCACAUACAGAACCAUUCAACAUGUGGACACAUAUGCGACAAUAUUUGAACCAAAUGAGGACGAGCAGAAGCAUCUUUUCUUAGUAAAAGGUAUGGAUUGCAGCACAGGAAAGAAAUAAGAACUAAUUCAAACCAUGUUUCAUGACAAAAUAAACCAGAAUAAAGCACUAAAUGCUACAAAUUAAUUGGUAGUUCAUGACAUGUACAAUACUGGAAACACAUAUUUCAAACUAUUGACUUAGCAGGUACAAUAUUGGAGUCCUUAUUAGAGAGAAAAAUAUACAUUAAGAUUGCUGAUUGCUUUCAAGAGAGAUGCAUAAUAUAUUGAUAUGGCUGUCCUAUAGCACCGUACCAUGAUUUAUGUAAAUAACACAAGAAUCAUGUUUCAUACAUCAAUUGGUCAGUGGCAGUAUACAUGAAGGUUAUCGAAUAUAAAGUACGUAAUGGAUGCUGUAAAAAUCAAUACUUGAUUAAACCCAAAAUUACCACAAUAACCAACAAAAAUGGCUCACUCAGGCGAGAAGCAGCAUCAACUAGAAGCUCAACUUCCUCCAUCUGUGACCAAAUAUCAGCAAUUACAUUCAAGUCAAAGAUAUGCUAGAGAAGUUGAUAUGAAGUACAGUUGAAUUCAUUACAAGGAAUAUUCAACUACCAAAUGUGUAACAUUAGAUGAUCACCAUUGGUGCUGCCUUGCGGAUAACAGCAACAGCUUCACUUAGAAUAGGCUUUUCCCUCUCUAUCAACUGCACCACUUUUUCAUCCAAUUUUGUAAAUCCAGCAACUUUGGUUUUCUCGCGAGUUAGGACCGCUACAUUAUUUGCAUCUUCCAAUGUGCUAGCAGAAGAAUAACUCGUUUGUGGGACUUCCUCAGUCCCAUCCACUUUUGAGAAAUCCCUUUCUAUAAGAUCAUCAGUGAGGUGUUGGAUACCAGCCAAGGAUGUAACAACUCCAGAUGCACCAGAUUGGAGCAACCUGGAUGUGAUGUCAGAAUAAGUUGCUCCACUGUGCGAUUCAUUUAAGGUGAAGAAAAUUGGAAUCUUCACCUGUUGACCAACACCACCACUCAUAACAUCCGCAAUAUUGUCACUGCCAGUAUUUGCAAUAAGAAAAUCAGCCCCUUCAGAACUUGAAGCACUUAUUGCAGAGUUUGCUGACCGUAUCGUUCUAGCAACAAUUGGAAGAUAUAUGGAGUCAGCAUUUGAUUUCAUCAUCAUACUCCUUGCAACAAUAGCAGGAAUACCUGCAUCAUAAAUGAAGGAGCACCUUAAAAUACAUAAAUCUUGCAGUGCAGUUACUAGUCUAUAAUCCAAAAUGCAAUACAUUUUAAUCUUAUCCCAAGUCAAACUUCUACAAGUCUAAACAAGUUUAUAGAAAAAUAUAUUUACAACUACAAUACCAAAUAAAUACAGUAUCAAGAUAUAUUUCAUAGUGGAUUUAAUUAAACUAAUUUGAUGUUGUAGAUGUUGGUACAUCUUUCUAUAAACAUAGUCAAAGUUAGAAAACUUUGACUUAGGAUUAAAACCAAAACGUCUUACAUUUUGGAACGGAUGGAGGACUUAGCAAGUUAGCAUGAUUUCCUAGUAAACUAGAAAAUGAAGUAUAAGUACGUUACAAGUUUACCAUGAUGAUCCAUUCAAAAUUAUUGGCGUUACACUUGGAACGAGGUAUACGGUUGGCAGGUAGUACAUCACAAUACAUGACUGAUAGGUGCCCAUGACCGAUCAGCAAUGAAGCAUAAACCCGGUUGUUGGAAAAUGUAAGCUCGAGGACAGUAUACCCCGCAACCCCGCAUUCUCAGUAACUGCUACCUACCUAAGCAAGACAAUACAAACUGGAAGCUUAGGAGAAGUUCAGUCACCAACCGUCGUCCGCGAGCACGACGCCGCUCGCCCCAACCGCGGAGGCGACGUCGACGCGCUCCGUGAUCAGCAGGUACGCGCGGUCCCCGACCGCGGCCCUGAGCUUGACCGCUGCCUCGUACGCGCGCCCGCCACCCUCCUCCCCGGCCUCGAGCACGACGAUCCCCACGCCGCGCGCCACGGCGGCGGCCACCUCAUCCCCGGACCGCAGCGCCUCCUCGGCGCCGACACGGAGCACUAGCGCGGGCACCUGGAUCUCCGGCCGCUUGAAGCCGCCGGGGAACAGCGUCCGCGGCGGCUCCUUCGCGGCGCCCCCACCGCCGCCGCUGCCGCCGGUGAUGCCUCCUCCGCCUCCAGCGGCGACGGCGCUGGCGUGGACCGCGCGGCGGAGGCGGCCGCGGCGGCGGGAGAGGAGGAGGGAGCGGAAGGGGGCGGCCGGGCGCGGGAGGAGGAGGCGGGUGGCGGUGGAAGCGGCGGACAUGGAGAGCGGGAGGGGGAGGGGAGGGAGCCCGCUCGCGUGUGGACAGUGGAGUGGGGAGAGCGAGGCGAGCUGGUGGUGGUGGUGGGGUGGGAAGCGGGAGGCGGUGGAGCCGUGGAGGGGAAGGAGUUUGUCGUGGAUUUGGUUGGAUAGGGCGGGGACCCGGCGCGGUGCACGGCCGCGAUGGGAUUUGCCGUUUGAUCUGGAACCAGCGUUUCUGCUCCUCCUCCUCCUCUAGUGCUGCUGCUGCUUUAUAUAUAUAUAUAUAUAUAUAUAAUGGAUGAAAAUGCCGCUUCAGACUGAAAAAAAAA
Molecule: long non-coding RNA, 46892 nt
Filed under: Setaria viridis
Lineage: Eukaryota; Viridiplantae; Streptophyta; Magnoliopsida; Poales; Poaceae
Description: long non-coding RNA (SVIR_LNC002932)
Source: RNAcentral